CGGUCUACAAGCCCCCUGUUGAGAAGCCACCUGUGUAUAAGCCACCGGUAGAAAAACCUCCAGUUUACAAACCACCGGUAGAGAAACCACCAGUGUACAAGCCACCAGUUGAGAAGCCCCCCGUCUACAAACCUCCUGUAGAGAAGCCUCCUGUUUACAAGCCACCAGUAGAGAAACCACCAGUGUACAAGCCACCAGUUGAAAAGCCUCCGGUCUACAAACCACCUGUAGAGAAGCCACCUGUUUACAAGCCACCUGUAGAGAAACCACCAGUGUACAAGCCACCAGUUGAGAAGCCUCCGGUCUACAAACCACCUGUAGAGAAGCCACCUGUUUAUAAGCCACCUGUAGAGAAACCACCAGUGUACAAGCCACCAGUUGAGAAGCCCCCGGUCUACAAACCCCCUGUAGAGAAGCCUCCUGUCUACAAGCCACCAGUAGAGAAACCGCCAGUGUACAAGCCACCAGUUGAGAAACCCCCGGUCUACAAACCCCCUGUUGAGAAGCCUCCUAUCUACAAGCCACCAGUAGAGAAACCACCAGUGUACAAGCCACCUGUUGAGAAGCCUCCAGUUUAUAAGCCACCAGUUGAGAAGCCACCUGUGUACAAGCCCCCAGUCGAGAAACCCCCGGUCUACAAACCUCCUGUAGAGAAGCCUCCAGUUUACAAGCCACCGGUGUACAAACCUCCAGUUUACAAGCCACCAGUAGAGAAGCCACCUGUGUACAAGCCUCCGGUCUACAAACCCCCAGUUGAGAAACCUCCAGUUUACAAGCCACCGGUUUACAAGCCUCCAGUCGAGAAGCCACCAGUUUACGGACCACCUCACCACCCAUAGUACCCUCCCGUAGUUGGCACUACUCGUUUUUAAAGCAUGCUUUUAAGUAAAUAAGAGAUAUAUAAACUUUCCAAAGCAAGGAUCAUAUAUUCUUGGAAAUCUUCAAUUCAAUCUUAUGUUUACAAAUGCUAUUGCCAAGACAAGAGUGUGAAAGAAAAUGGUGCCAUUUGUACUUCAAAUUAUGAAUAAGAACGUUAUGAUUUAGUACUUCUUAUUUUGUGUUUGUUGACUAAAUUUGACAGAGUAUACUUUACUUGUUCCCUAUCAUACCAGUAAGGUGCAUGAAAGUUCAGUCUUGAACGGUGGAAAUAAAUAAUAAUUAAUUAAUGUUUGAAUCUCGAAUUUACUAAAUUAACGAACUUGUAAUUUCAUUGGAAUAUACUUGACUCAGUGGUAGCUUUAGUUUCAACUUGGAAAAUGUCCGUGAUAUGACAAUUUUUCCAAAACAAGUUUAGGUUAAGAUUUUUAUUUUUUAUUUUUGACAUAAUAUACGUUAAGAUUCUUGUGUACUAAUAGAAACUGAAAAAUCAUUUUGGUGCUUAAAGUUUAAUGAGUUGGACAAAUUAUUCACUCAAAUAUGGAAAUGAUAAUGUAGUCUCUUCAAUUAUAGAAUGCCAUUUAAUUUAGUUACCUUUUCAAAAUUAGCAUCACAAUUCGCAAGGUUUUAUAUUUGUGUUGAUGCAUCAGUUAAGAUAAGGAUCACGAAAAUUAGGUUUUUGACUUGGUUUUGAUUAGGGGUGUUUGCGGUGCGUUUUGGUUCGGUUUUGAGCAUAAAAGUCAUCUAAACCUCAAGAUAAAAAAGCAUGCGGUUUGGUUUGAUUCAGUUGAUUUUUAUAUAGUCAUCCAAACAAAACCAAACCAAACCAAUGCGGUUUGGAUUGGUUCGGUUUGUACGGUUUAUCGCGAGAUGAAAAAAUAUUACAUUAACUCUAAUAUUGCCAACUUGUUACAAAAUAAACAUAGGACAUUUUAUUUUGUUGUUUAUAUGAUAAAAUAUUAGGUAAAACUUAUAUCAAAAUAGGUAAAAUUAAGAAGAAACAUAAGCAUGAAACAAAUUAUUGAGAAGUAAAAGAAACAAAUUCAUCACUGAAAAUGAAUUGAAAGAGAUGGAAAGGAAUUAGAAUCGAACCAGAUGGUGCAACAAUGGAAAAAUCUAAUCAAAUGAGAUUAUUCUUGAGCUAUGUAAUUGGGCUAGUACAUGUUUAAGUAAUAUUCAUUAUUCUUGCGGUUUGGUUUGGUACUUGAGAUGCAAACCGCAAACCAAACCGAACCGCGCGGUUCAGUGUAAAAGUCAUCCGAGUUCAUUCGAACCAAGUGCAGUUUUUUGCGGUUUCGGUUUGGAUUGGUUUGGUUUGCGGUUUUUCUAUUGGGUUCGUUCGGUUUUGAACACCCCUAGUUUUGAUCGAUGUUUCCUGAAGAUAUGUUUUGGUAAUUGAACUAAAUAAACUGUCUUACAUUCUUCAAUUAAUGAGAUUAAAUUUCCUUUUUACAAAUAUCAAUGAUUAAUGUCAAGGACUAAAAUGAUGAUUAGUGUCGCGCCAUUUUUCGGAGGUCAAGGCCAUUUGAUUAGCUUUUGACUCACUUUUUAUCUCACGACUGAACAAAAAAUUUUUUAAAGGGGAAAAAGUUUCAAACCACCCAUUUUGAAAAGAUUUAGGGUUCAUGGGUUGGUUAUAUUUAGGGAAGGUAUUAGCACCCUAAAUAUUCGUAGUACUCUAUGAGUACCUCUUGAUUUUAUUUAACUUUUUGUGCUUAAACUUGCUUGCUUUUGAAGAGAUGAAAAUAGAAUUGAAAGAUGAGUUGAAACGAAAAAGAAAAUUGAUUUUAAUUGAAAAGAAAAAAGAAAAUUGUUUUUUAGUUGAUUUGGAAGGACAAGGUCCUCUGCCUACGUACCCGUGAGGGAUCAAAACCUCGUAGUUCGGGGUAGAAAUUGACGUUUGAUUGGUUUUAUAUUUUUUAUUAGUUUUUGAAAAAAGGUUUGAAAUAAAAAGCCAAGUGGCAAAUGAGAAUUGAUUUGUGUUUUUUGGAUUGAAGGAAAUAGACUUGAAGUAGAAUUAAAAUUGAUUUGAGAUUUGAUUAAGAAAGAAAAUAGAAAUAGCGAUCACUUCAUUGAAAGUCAAGGUUUGUUAUAAAAAUAUUUUUUUGUGAUUUUUUGAUAUUUGGAUGUUUUUGCCGUUUUUGAAUAAUGAAUGAAAAUUAAACUAACAGAGCAAUGAAAAUAAAAGUGCGUGGGCGUGAAGAAAAGAUUUUGGUUUAUGUUAGUUCGACAAUAUAAAUAGUAUUUAAUAUAUGUUGUGUUCACUUUGGAUAUUAUCGGACAAAAUUUUGACAAUAAUAAAAAUAAUAAUAGUAAAAUAGAAUAAAAAAUAGAAAGACUAAAGUGAAUCAAAAUGAGAUAAAAAGAUAAAUAUUUAAAACGGAUUUAAAGUUAAUAAAAGAUGGAAACUAAAAUUAAAUGAAAUUUGAAAAUUGAGAGAAGAGGGUCCGACUUGGAACCAAAUAUGAGGUAUUUUAAAAUACCUUCCUAUCGAAAUUUUGUUCGAAAGGCUGAGACCGGUCGGAGUUAAAUGACACGUGUCAGUGCUGCCUUAGGUCAAAAAUUGGGGUAUGACAAUUAGCUCAAUAAUUAAUUAUUGUGAUUUCUUCAUUUUAUAUUUAUAUUUAAGAAUAAAAAAAAAAAAAUGACGAUAUCAACUUUGACACAUUACAUAUUCAAUCAAUGUUGACUUGACCAUCAAUGCUACAUAUCCGGAUGUAAGAGUAGUUCGACGAGUUUAUUUUUGUCACUUUUGUUGAUAUUUUGUUGGUUUAUGCUAUUAACUUGCAUCUAGUAAACUUGUUCAUAGCUUCAUCAUUUUCAGUUUUAGUGACAUGAUAUUUGUGUUGUAUUCAAUGUGAUUUACCGCGCGAUAUGAAUAAUAUAUAUUUUUAGUCAAAAUUAAUCAUGUCGGACCUGAGAUCUUUGGUUUGAUGGCGUUGAACGACCUUUGAGUAAGACAAUGUUAAACCAAAAUGAGUUUUAUACAAUGCCUCUGAAGUUUUGAUAAUAACAAAGUAUAAAAAGAACAAUUGAAUAUGCCAAUGUUGUUCAAGUAUGCUCGACCAUAUAUUAAAAUUCAAAGUAUUAAAUCAAGUUUUGAUUCUGAAAGAACAAGAUUAUGAACAUAUACAAGAGCAUCUGCAACUUAUGAGAAGCUGGAAAUUUGGAUCAGACUCUGAAUAAGUAAGACUGUGAAAGUCGGGAGUGUAACACCCUGAACCCCACAUACUAUUUUUAAAAGUAAUAAUUCAACAUUUAAAUAAACAUAUCAAGAUGUUACUCUUCAUUUUCAACACAUAACAAGUCUCCAUCUUAAAAUAUCAACUCACAGCGGAAAUAAGUCUCAACAACACAAAUGUCAUACAUCAUAUCUCAGAAUAAGUACAUCAUCAAAAUAAACUCAAGGUUCCUCAAACAUAAUAUGAUAACAUAAAUAAAAUCCCAACAUCCUAAUCAGAGAACCACUAGACAAGACUCCAAAAUCAAAGCGGUAAAAGAUGAGUAGGCUGCAAGCCGUCCUCGGAAACUCAUGGUAACUUUGCGUCCUCAACCUGCAAGUCUCCACCACAAGGGCGUAGGCGACCAUUUGCCAAACGUAGGGUAAGAUAUAAAUUUAACAUAGAGGAAAUAUGAACACAUAUAUAGUAUUAGGAUCGCAACAUCAUAUACAAGUAUUCAUCUUAAGCAAUACCAUAUUAACAUGCAUUCUCAUUGAUUGGUAAAAUAUACACAACAAAUCUCAAAUCAUCAUCACAAGAAUAUAAAAAAGUAAACACAUCAUUGAUUAAUCAUCCAAUGGAAUACAUAGGAUUCACACAUUAUCACUUUCAUUAAAUCACACAUUUUCCAUAAAAUACACAUAGUCAUGUAUGCAUCUUUCACAUAGAUUCACAUAGUCAAGUACUCAUCUUCUACAUAGACUCUCAUGUACGAAAUGUUCCUACUCGACUUUAUAUGCAUGUGGUACUGUUUUCGAUAUCAGAGGUAUUUUCUGAGUGAUUUCACCGUCACUUGGACUGACCAUGAAUGCAUGAACAUCUCAUCAUGACUCGACAAUGCAUAAUUCAUAUAACUCGACAAUUUACAUCAACAACAUCAUCACAUCGUAUAUUAAUUCAUCGUCGCUAUAUCAUCAUCAUCAUCAUCAUCAUCAUCAUCAUCAUUUUCAAUGUCAUUAUAUCAUCAUCAUCAUCAUCAUAUCAACAUCUAUAUAUAGUUCAAAUCAUCAUGUCAAACCAUAUCAAUAUGUAUCCACCUCGUCUCGCAAUCACAUUCACAGUCAUCAUCAUUAUAUAUUCAUAAGACAUUAUUCUACAUCAUCAAGUAUACUUCGUUAAUCAUCUAACAAGUUCACAGUCAUUUCAUGAUUCAAUUAUAAUUAAAUCACAAGUUUAUUUCUAACCAUUUCAAUUGCUAAGUUUACUUCCAUCAUAAGCUAGGUUAAUUACUCUUACACAUCAAAAUUAUACUUCUAUUAAUCAAGUUUAGAGGUUUGUGACAUAUUCACAUGCAUUGGAUACCUUAAAAUACCAAAAAUAUGAGUUUCCCACUAUAGGGAGGGUUGCACGGUAGUGCCAUCCAGGUGCACAGUCGUGCUCAUCAUGCAGGUAGGGAAAAGCUAUAAUUUUUGCGUUUUGCUCAGGAAGAACCCCUUUCAACACCAUUUUUCGAUCCAAUUCACACCAAACUAGACCCAAAUCAUAAAACUAAUGUUGUCUAAUCAAUUACACAUUAAUUUUACCUUAACUAACUUUAUUAUACUCAUUAUUAUCGUCAAUUAACAUGAACUUCAAUUGUUUUAAACUUAUCACUUCAAACCCAUUUUUAACAUGGUAAUUCAAACCCCAAACAUAGUAACAACCAAAUCAACAUCCCUUAUUCAAAAUGAACACAAAAAAAUUCAUCAAUUCACAUUAUAAACAUCAACUCAACAAUUAUCAACAAUUAUCAUGAAUUUCACCAAUUUCACAUAAAACUCAAAAACCCUAAUUCACCAUAAUCAAACAUUGAUUUUAACACAACUGUUAGGUUUGUAGUCUUGACAUGUUGGUGCGACAUCAUAGCGUGCCUUGUUCCGAUUUCUUGGAGAUUGUAUUUAAAUGUGAAAUCGCAGAAGAAAACUAAACGCAUCACAACUAAGAAAAGGUAGAAUAAAACCUUUCUACAAACAAAGCGCACAUCACUUGAAAGCAAAAUAAAUACGCAACUAAAUUUCAAAAAAGAUAUGCAUAAAUUAUCAUAGAAUAAGGCACCAAGUAACACGUUCUUACGUCUCAGAUUACCAAAUGGCUCUCCGAAAAAUAACCAGAGUAUGAUAAAAUUACAGAUUUCCCAAAACAAAAGGAACAUAAACUAAAAUACAAAGCACGAAAACAAAGAAGACACAACAACAUAACUCUUCAUCCACUAACUUUCCAUCAACCAAAAUCUUGGAGGGGUCCAGCUCGCUCACAUUAUCAUCAGGGUUAAAAUGCAGAACUUGCGCCCUAGUAUGCUCAAAGCCAUUGUCAAAAUAUAAGGCAAGAUCCCCCUUGCCAUCCUCAACGACGAAUUGAGCUUUGGCGAGAUCCCCUUACAACUAGACGACCUUCUUCUUCCAUGAAUCUCUCUCCAGCUCAACAACUUCUUUUUCAUCCUUCAUAUCUUUGGUCGUCUUCUCUGCAGUCUUCUUAUCCUCCAAGGCUUCCUUCAACCUACUUUCAAGACCCGUUGCUUUAUGCUUCCACUUCUCCACAUCUUCAUGAGCGUCUUUAUACUUUGCCUCUAAAGCACCAUGUUUCUUCUCCAUCACUUUUCCUAAUAAAAGGACCCGGAGCACUAAUAUUCUUGUAUCCAUUACUAGCUCGCCAAAUUUGCUUUUAACGCCAGCAUCAACGUCAACCUUAGACAGUGGCACUUUAUCCUCCAUGUAGCUACGAUAAACGCAUGACUUAAAAGUUGAAAACCCACUAACAUUACUAGAAUUUAAGUAAAAUCUCAUCAUCAAAUUAAACUCUCAUACCUACGAAAGUCGAAAUCUUUAUGCCAAAAAGAGUCAGCCACCUGAACAUUCAGAGAAAUGGUUCCCGCCACCCCGCUAGCAUAAUCAUCAUCCUUCCGACUGGCAACAAAUGUCCGCUUCGAGUCGCCCUUCCCAGUCCUCAUCUUCUUGCGUCUGGGCGAGUCAGUUUGCUCAGCCAGUACCCCAUUGCCUGCCGUCUCCAUGUUAUCAAUGUCCAUAUCCGAAUGUAACAUCCUAAAAUUUUAAGUCUAUAUUCAAAUGUAGUUAAAAAUAUAAAACAUAAUAGUGUAAUUAUUUUAAAAUACGCGAAGAUAAAAAUAAAGACAAAUAAAUAUGAUAUAAUUUCUUAUUAAUAAUUAAAUUUUAUUGGAUAAAAAGAAAAGGAGAAAGAAAGAAAAACAAAAAUAAAGGGAGUGCAAAUAACAAUUAUUUUUAGAAAAGAAAAAAAAAGUUAUAUACUUUCUCGAAUUUUUUUUCUGCCCUUGUUUAUGCAAAAAAAUACAAAAAUGCCCCACUUUUUCGAAAAAUUGCGUAAAUGCCCUACUUUUUCAGAAGCCCCUGGUACUACUCCACUUGGAGUUGCGGGGUACCCUAAAAAGUCACAAUUUUUUUGUCCUUAUUGUACGCCGCUACUUGGACUUGCGGGGUACUUUCCUACUUUUUUUUUUCCACUUUUUUUACUACCCCGCGAGUCUUAGCUUUUGCUUUUUUUUUUAAAAUUUUUUUUUUUUAAAUACCCCUCUACUUGGAGUAGAGUGGUAUAAUGAAGACAAAAAAAAUUCAACGUGUAAUAAUUACUCUCAAAUAAUAAAAAACUAAUUAAAAUUAUAUAACCAAUAAAAUACCAUCUACAAUGAUUAUAAAUGCCCGGCUGUCCCACACCUUCGUCUUCGACGAUCUCUUCCGCGAUUUACUUGAGGGUUAUGUUGGUCUUCGUCAUUUUUAUUUGUAGUUGAUUGUAUCUGACUACCAUAACCCAGUGACAACGACACAUCGUGUUCUCUUGUUGGCCAUCCCAUAUCCAGAAAUUGUUCAUUGGAGUUCAACGAAGUCGGAGAGAAGUGAGAUAAUAGGUUUGUUGGUGUUGGUGGGUGGUUGUAGUUUUGGUUGGUGUACAUUGGGUAUUGUGGGUUGUUGUAGGGGGGUAAUUGGUGUUGGACGGUCCAGCUUGGUUUGGGUCAUUAUAGGAGAAGUAGUUGUUGUUGGAUGUGUUAGCUUGGUUUGGUUCAUUGUAACCAUAAUUUGUCAUUGAAUUUUGUUGGUAAGUUGACUGAUAUUGGGGCUCAUAUGCAUUUCUCGGGGAGGUAUAUGGUGGUGGUUGGAUGAUAUUUUGUUGGGGGGUGUCGAGAAAUUCAUACAUUACAGAACCAUGAAUGUUUUGUGUUGUAUGUGGUUGGGAUUGAUGAUCUUGUAGUUGAGAAAAAAUGUCUUGAUCCCAAAAAUCAUCAUGAAUUGGUGUUUGGUUGUUGUGAAUUUCAGGUUCAUGUUCCGGCUCCGGCUCUUCUUGUUCGUCUGGAUCUGAAUCUGAUGGUUUUGUCUCAACUGAAAUCCUUAGACGUGGGUUGCAUGUGGUUGUCAACCACUCAAUAUACGCAUGAGUUGGGGUGAGUGAUCUUGGCCGCAUGUGAGGUAAAAUAUAACUCCGUCGGUUGUCCCAAUGUAAGCUCUCUUGUGGAAAGUGAAAACCAUUUGAUUGGUACCACAUCUUGAACCGUUUGUCCACUAUAUGGAAUUGUCGCAUGUCUCGUGGGGCCCCUGGUAUUUCCUGUGGCAAACCAAAUUCUAGCUUGACCCUAUCAGUUGGAUGCCAUUCAACUCUGUCAAAACAUAUAAGGUGAGUUGUUGCAGUCCACUCCCAAUAGUCUUCAGGAAAAUUGUGUGGAACAUUCUUGUAUGGUCUCCAUUUAAACUGGCAGAAGAGAGAAGUUGUAGUGUAAGGUUAACAAUUUUGAUAUAUAUAUAUAUAUAUAUAUAUAUAUAUAUAUAUAGUUCGAUAGGUGAAAUAUAUAUUCAUUAUUAAUUAAAUAACUCCUAAUUAAAUACUUGUAAAAAAACUCAUGAUUAAAUAAAUAAUUAAUUUAUAAUCGCGACAUUUUUUUAGUCCUAUAUUAAUUGCAUGUCCUACUUUUUUUUUUCUUACAAAAGAAAGUUAACAUAUAGCUUUUUAUUUCUUUACGACCAUGAAAGUGUUAAUAUGUAGCUUAAAUAACAAAAUAUCUUAAUUAUAUUUAAUUAGACCAUGAAAGUUAGUUUACCCUUGAAAUUACAUAAAAAAAAAAUUACCGUUCAAUAUAUAUAUAUAUAUAUAUAUAUAUAUAUAUAUAUAUAUAAACUCAUACAUUCAAAAAUCAAUUAUAAUAUUACUUGAUGUUCCAGUAUGUCAUCAAACUUUUUUCUGUAAGAUAUAGUGUCAUGGCUUGGAUUCUCGUAGUAUCUUGAACCUGCACCUGUCCAUCUAACAAAUGAUAUAAACAAAUUAGUAGCUAAUUUAUCAAAUAAUAAUAUUAAUAAGAAGCGAGAAUAUGCGAGGAAAUUAACAAAAAAAAUAAAUAAAUUAAUUGACCACGAUUACUUUAAUCCUAGCGGCUACUGGAGUGGGUUAUCAUUUCUCGGAGCGAUAUAACUCAACCGACAAUAUCCCCAAACUUGUAACAGAAAAUGACAUCCAGAUAGUGCUUUUAUAUUUGGGUGUGAUGCCUCACACAAGCCACGAUAAAGGUAAGCCAAAACUGCCGAUCCCCAACUAUAAUUUCUUGUUUCAUUAAAAUCCAUUAACAAAUACAACCAAGAGUUGUGCACAAAUAAUCCAGUUGUAUUAGGAAACAAGAACCCUCCAAAGAGGUAUAGUAGGUACCUCCUGUGUGUUGUAUUUUUACCUCCGGAGGAGAUUGUUCACUGAAGUUAUUAUCGACCAGAUUAUCCUUUAAUCACGACAACGAGAGAGUAAAACCAUCAGUUUUGUGUGCUGGAGGAGUUAUUCCCAACAAUUGAGCACAAUUAUUCCACAGAAGAUUUGGAGGAGCCGUAACAAUUGGUCCUCCAAAAGGUAAGCCGAGUAAAAUAUAUACGUCUUCAAACGUGAUUGUACAUUCACCCGUUCGAAAAUGAAAAGUAUGUGUUUCGGACCGCUAUCUUUCUACAAGAGUGGUUACGAUGUGCCUAUCAAUUUUGUAACGCCCUAUUUGAGAAACCUCAAAAAAUCCAGCUUGACGUAGAUAAUCUUCAAUAUAAGGACUUGGUAUGAUGUUUUGCCGUGUACGAGUGGUUAGAGGUGCACCCUCUGCAUCCUAACAAAAAAUAAUAAAGGAAUAAAAUUAAAACAUAAUCAAAAUAUAAAUUUAAAAAAACGUGAACAUAUUUAAAUUAAUAUUAAAAAAUAAAAAUGACAUUAACAAAUUAAUAUCUAUAUAUACCCAUCUUCUUAUAUGUUCUUCCAUGGAUCUAUGAUCAUUUUCCAACCACAAGUAUGCCAUUGCUUUAUAGAAUUUGAUUGAAAUAAUCUCUUAUGUGAGUGAGUAAGGAAAGGAUUGAGAUAAGUAGAAUAUGUGUAAAGAGUAAAAAUAUAGUUGUGGUAUUUAUAAUGUAAAACUAUGUGUAAAUGGUAGAAGUAGUAGUGUGGUAUUUUAAUCAAUGAAGUGAAGAGUUCCUGUGUUACUACUGCAACGCAUGCAAGCCAACAGUGUUCAAAUAAACAUAGAAAUGACAAUUGCAUCAAUAGCAGAAGCAUGGUGUUCAACAAUAUUGAAUUAAUUCGUAAACUUUGCCUCAUGAGAUGACCAUUGCAUGUAAAAAAUACAUUAAUUUCUUGCAAGAAAUUUUUGACUGAAAUGACCAAUGCAUGUUUUGAUCACGUGAAGCAUGCUAGCAAACAAAUGGCCGACAAGCUGCCUCUGAAUAACCAAUAGGAACGGCGCGUGCAAAUACUACCCCGCCACUCUGGGUUGCGUGGUACCCCCAGCUGGCGCAUGCUUUACAUACCCCGCCACUCCAGCUUGCGUGGUACCCCCCAGCUGGCGCGUGCUUUACCUACCCCGCUACUCUAGCUUGCGUGGUACCCUCUAGCCCGCUAGUCCAAACUGCGUUGUACCUUUUUUAAUUUUCCCGCUCGAAGGGCAGAUUAAAUUACAUGUUAGUAUAAAUAAAAGUGGUCUGCAUGAUAUCAUUGUAUCAAACCAUUCUACUUCAUACUCUUACUCAUUUCUUAAGAUCAAACCAAUUCAAUGGCACCAAAUAUAAACGUUUUUGUGUACUAUAAUGGAGAAGUUAAACAAAAUGAAUCCGGUAUUUUUUUUCAAAGUCAGUAUACCAAAGGUUUUAAAGUCAGCAUGGCUAGUACUUACUUGCAUCUCAAAAGAAGAAUUGCGGAAAAAGUAUGUCUCGAAGAUAAUAUGGUUGUGUCUGAAAUUAUGUGUCGGAAUCCUAUGUUUGUUGGAACUACCACAAUUCAUUACCAGGCGUUAAGAAUAACUGAUAACGACGAUGUCGAGUUUAUGUUUAACGUACAUAAAAGUCACAGUUCUUUGUCCUAUAUAGAGCUUUAUGUUACGUUUGAGAUGAAGAAUCCAACAUCUAAUUUUGAGUUAAAUUACCCAUCGAGUUCUAGUCAACACCAAAGUCUACCACAACACUACAAUCCGUCAUCGUCGCAAGAACACUACAACCCAUCAUCGUCCCAACCGCACUAUAACCCGUCUCCCAUUUAUGAUGCAUCCUUAUCGCAACCUUUUCAGUCAAAGUGGUCACAAAAUGUGUACGAACCAUCACAAAUAAUAACUCAACCUCAUCCCUCUCAAACACCAUCUCGUUCAACACAACCCAAAACCUUAAACGAUGAAAUCAAUAUAUUCACCUCCCAAUUUCAAGACCAACCAAAUGAUGAAGUUCAAGAUGAUGAAGACGAUGAUGAUGAAGAACUCCUUGCCGCACAAAACGGUGACGAGAACGAAGAAGACGAAGACGACGAUCUGCCACUACUACCAAUUUUACCAAUCAGAGCUUCUUACAACCCACCAAGGUCCAUGCGCAACGUCAAUGAUGACCACUCAACUGAACUUUAUCAUUCAAUGGCUCUUCCGGUCGAUCAAGGUAUUGCCCUAGGGAUGCAAUUUCAUAACAAGAAUGAUUGCAUUCUCGCAAUUAAAUUUUAUCACAUGAAAAAAUCAACGGAUUAUAUUGUGAAAAAAUCAGAUCCUGAAAGGUAUGUCAUCAAAUGUAAAGAUACAAAAUGUGGUUUCAAAUUGCGGGCCUCGUGGAGGAAAAAAACUGAUAAAUGGGAGAUUGGGAAAAUGAAUGAUCAUACAUGUGUCUCAACAGAAAUGACGCAAGAUCAUCAUAAACUUAGUUACAAUGUGAUAUGUGAAAGUGUUAAAUCACUACUACAUAUGGAUACUUCAAUUACAGUGAAGGUUAUAAUUGCACACAUCCGAGAGAAGUUUAAUUACACAGUUUCAUACAGAAAGGCAUGGAGAGCACGGAAUAAGGCGAUUAAAUCAAUUUAUAGUAAUUGGGAGGAGUCUUAUGAAGAACUACCACAAUGGUUGAUGGUCAUGGAAAAAGAUUUGCCAGGAACAAUAAUUGAUUUUCAAACGGACCCAUCAACAGAAGUGGCAAAUGAGACCGUCUUCAAGCGUCUUUUUUGGGCCUUUCGUCCGUGCAUCUCAGGUUUCGAAUUCUGCAAACCAAUUGUCCAAAUUGACGCAACUUGGUUGUAUGGUAAAUACAAGGGAACAUUGUUGUUAGCUGUUGCGCAAGAUGGGAACAACAAGAUAUUUCCCAUAGCUUUUGCAAUCGUGGAAGGCGAGACCAAGGAGGCAUGGAGUUUCUUUUUGAAAAAUUUAAGGCAGCAUGUCACCCCACAAGAGAACAUAUGCCUCAUUUCUGAUAGACAUGUGUCGAUAAAGAGCGCGUAUGAUGAUCCACAGAAUGGAUGGCACGAUGCUCCGACAAGCCAUGUUUAUUGUGUCCGACACAUUGCACAAAACUUUAUGAGAUCAUUCAAGGAUGGAGAACUAAAGAAGAAAGUUGAAUGCAUGGGUAAAAAUCAUAUCUCUUUCCACGUAAAUUCGACAUUUUAUUUGUUUAAAAUGACACAUCUAACUUUUUUCAAAACAAUGCAGGUUACGCCAUGAACAUCCCUACAUUCGAAUACUACCGUUCUGAAAUUGCUGUUGCAGACCGAAAGGCUUUAGCAUGGGUCGACAAUAUUCCCAAACAAAAGUGGACUCAAUCACAUGAUGAUGGUCGACGAUGGGGCCAUAUGACAAGUAACUUGGUAGAGUCACAAAACAACGUGUAUAAGGGUAUUCGAGGACUUCCGAUCACAGCUAUCGUGAAAGCAUCAUAUUACAGGUUGGCGGCCUUGUUUGCUAAAAGAGGACAUGAGGCAGCGGCAAGGGUAAAUUCUGGUGAGCCAUUCUCAGAAAACAGCAUGAAAUAUCUCAGGAAUGAGGUGAUUAAAUCCAACAGUCAUCAUGUCACACAGUUUGACCGGGAUCGGUAUACCUUUUCCGUCCGUGAAACCAUCGACCAUAAAGAAGGAUUGCCAAAGGGAGAAUACAAGGUGGACCUGCAAAAUAAAUGGUGUGACUGUGGACGAUUCAGAGCGUUACACCUACCAUGCUCACAUGUCAUUGCCGCAUGUUCUAGCUUUUCUCACGACUACAAGACUUUUGUCGAUAACAAAUUCACGAAUGAGUGUGUAUACGCCGUAUACAACAUCCACUUCGACGUGGUUCACCACCAGACAUAUUGGCCUAAUUAUGAAGGACUGAAGGUGGUUCCCAACAAGUCCAUGUGUAGGGUAAAGAAAGGUCGUCCACCAAUUACUCGCAUUAGGACCGAGAUGGACGAUGUGGAAACUGAGAGAAGAUGCGGCGUUUGUAGGAUGCCUGGUCAUUCCCGCAAAGAUUGCAUUAAUAUUAGACACCAGUAAAAAUCUAGUCUUUAUUUCGUUUGUAGGAUGUAUGGUCAUUUCCACAAAUAAUUGUAGAUUUUAUGGUAUUUUAUUGGUUAUAUAAUUUUAAUUAGUUUUUUAUUAUUUGAGAGUAAUUAUUACACGUUGAAUUUUUAUUUUUUUUUGUCUUCAUUAUACCACUAUACUCCAAGUAUUUAAAUUUUUUUUUAAAAAAAGCAAAAGCUAAAACGCAAGUCCAACUUGCGGGGUAGUAAAAAAAGUGGAAAAAAAAAAGGAAAGUACCCCGCAAGUCCAAGUAACGGGGUACAAUAAGGACAAAAAAUUUGUGACUUUUUAGGGUACCCCACAACUCCAAGUGGAGUGGUACCAGGGGCUUAUGAAAAAGUAGGGCAUUUGCGCAAUUUUUCGAAAAAGUGGGGCAUUUUUUUAUUAUCUUUGCAUAAACAAAGGCAGAAAAAAAAAAUUCUACUUUCUCCCCACGUUUUCUCAAAAUUUGUUUCUAAAAUAAUAAUAAAAAAAGAAAUAGUUAUUUCAGAAAGAGAAACCGUGUGAUAUUUUUUAAUUAGUGUACACCUACACUUCUCAUGUGCCUAUAAAUAAGAUGCUUAGUUGAACAUAAACUCACACUACAAAACUCUCCUCUCUCUAAAAAAUCAGGUUAGUUCUCUCUCUCUCUCUCUCUCUCUCUCCUUUUCUGAACUUUCUCUAUUCAAUCUAUAGUCAUUCUUUAUUCUUUUGAAAGAGACAAGAUUUACUACUAAAAUAACCUCAGAUUUGGUCCCCACAACCCUUCUUUUGGGAAGAACAACAACAUAGUAUACCCUUCUUUUGGGAAGAACAACAACAUAGUAUUAGAAUGUUCUUUUAUCAGAUGAGAAAGUGACAGUAGUUUAGUUCUUUUCAACCUAAUCAAACCAUGAAAAUAGUUUAGCUCUUUUCAACCAUUCUUUUUCAACAGAAACAUCAUUCAAUAAAAUAAAAUAAAGAGAUCUCAGAUCUGUUUUAGACUUUUAGUAGAAAAAAUUACACGAUUUAAUUAUUGUAUUUUUUAUACUGAUACAAACUAUGAAGAUUGAAACAAAGUUCAUAAGAAAGUUGAGAUCUUGUUUAAUUCAUAUUUUUAGUUUAAAGAAAAAUAAAGAAAUGAACAUUGUUUUAAGAAUGACGUAAUGACUAUUAAAUGGCUUUUAAACAUUCUGACUAUAUAAAAAGGUAGUAACAUAAGUUUCAUUUGAAAUAAAAUAAAAUCAAGCUAUUAUUAAAAUAUAUCUAAUAUAAUCUGAAGAAAAAAAAAGGACGUGAUACAGAGAAACAAAGGAAUUAGAAAACUUUAACUCGUUAUCUCUAUUAUUAUGACCUUGAUAAUGACUAUAGUCUAAUAGAUAGUUUAUUUUGGGUGAGUAUUCUAGGUGAUAUUGGAGCUGCUUUCGACGGAAACAAUAUUGCAACCACUUGCGAAGAAUCCGAAGGUAAGGGGAAUUACUACUAAUAAAUUUUAAAGAUUUUGCAUAAGUUAUGUGCUUAAGUGAUUAUAUGUGAGUAAAUAACUCUACUUGUGAGAGUUAAUUUCUCGAUGAUGUGGUAAUUUCUAGCGAUCAAGUACAUGUCAAAGGACAUCGACUUAUAUGUGUUUUAGUUAAUAUAAUUAGGAGUUUUUGAAAAUAUAAUACAUAAGUAGAAGAAAAAGUUUUGUAAAUGAUGAAUUGAUUAGAUAGUUAUAUUAUGUUUAUUUGGUAUUACUCUUGUGUAAGUGAAUGAGCAUAUGAAUUUCAAUAAGUGUUAACUGAUUUCGAUGAGUGAAAUUAGUUGGAAAUAUAUGAUUUAAAGUGUCAAUUAUGAUUCGACGCGAUAAUUUAUAAUGUUAAUCAUGAUUAAAAACUUCUCUAUAAAAAGAAAUGAUCUAAGAGAGAUAGUUGUAUCCCACCUCAUUAAUUUUAUGGUAUCAACUCAUAGGUAUGUUGUAAAGGAAAGAAACUUAAGAAUGCCAAACUAUGAUCACUAACUUAGUACGUAGACAUAGUAUAUAUAGUUAUAUUGUACGUGUAGGAAAUUCUUUAAAACAAAUGUAUAUGUGCUUUUUAACUAGGCAACAUGAAUUAUUCUUUGUUAAAAUCUCAUGAAUAAAAAGAACAUGUACUAGUUUAAUUGAAUUACCUAAGUUCUUACUUACUGCUGAAAUUUCUAUGCUUAUAAAUAAAUGAAAAAGAACAUAUGCUGGUCAUUAAUUGUUCAGUUAUUAUGUACUGGCUUGAUUUACUUGCUGGAAUUUCUAUGCUUAUACAUAAAUGAAGAGGGACAUAUGCUGGUUAUUAUUUGUUGAGUUAUUAUAUACUGGUUUGAUUUACAUCACUGUACUAAUUGAAUAAAAUUCUGAUGUGGCUAAUCAAUUUUAUAAACAUAAAUGGUUAAUUGUUUGACAUUGUUGAGUUGAAUAUGAGUGUUUUGUCUUGUCUAGAAAGUAGGGACAAUUAAGGAGCUAUAACAGGUCCCUAUACACUCAGGUGUAGAUGAGAAUGAGGAUAGUUAUGGUUUGGUUACUUUGAGGAUCUAUCGAGGGCACUUGUGUUUCGAACGCCUAUCAAUAGUUGGGGAUUGCUUCCCGGCUGAAAGUACUCGUACUACCAGACACGGUGAGCCUGAAAAAACUAGACUAUCUAUGAUAAGGUAGUGCGAUCGGACUAGAAUGAUUAGAGUUUAAGCAUAUCUUGCUCAAAAUACUAAUAAUCAUGAUAUAGUUGCCGAAACGGCCUUAUGCUCAUUAGAGUGGAACCUCCAUGGAGUAGUGAAUUAUGAGAAGAAAAUAAACUAGAGUCAAGAAAAAAAAAGUCAAAAGAGUUCAUGCAUGUGUCAUGUUGAAUGUCAAACUAUUAAUUCAAAUUGGACCUCUUAAAAGAUAGUUUUUUUUUUUUUUUUUUUAUAAUAUGCUUUGUGAUUGUUGUUGGACAGUGAAUGAAAAGAAAAUAUUAUAUCUAUGUAAAUAUCAUUUUACCUUGCUGUAUAUAUAUUAUUUUCUUUUUCCUUAUGUAAUAAAUCACGUGGAAAACUUGUGUACGAGUAAUUCACCCUUCUUUGUUUGUUUUUGUAUCUUGUUGUUUUUUUUGGGUAUGUUCGGACGUUUUUAUAGAUGAUGCCAGAAAGACAUUUAGCUCACUCGGGAACCCGCAUGAUCGAGUUCCUUGAGGUAUUUUCUUUUGCAACACUUAUUAAAGAAGAAAGUAAUAAUAAAUCAAAACACUCACACAAAGACGCCUCAAGACUAUUGGAAUCACCCUAUCGUAUCAAAAGCUCAUGAAUAUCCAUAAGUAAAAACUUCUCCAAAAAGAACACCAUACCCUACUCAUAGGGUGCCAUCUUAUUAAAAUCAUACCCCAUCACUGCAAUCGGAGCAAUGAUCCAACAUAAAGGAAACUUUGGUUUUCCUUCCACCAUCACCAACGAAGUUGAGCCCUCAGGCUCUCCUUGCACCCUAACAAACGAAUCACACCAAUCCUUCUUAAAGUUAGAAGCAUAAGGAGGGAAAAGUUUUUUACUAGGAUAGGCACUAAUUGAAACCCACAUUCCCUUGUUUACAUCUUUCGUCCUAUAAAAAUGGAAGAAGACGCCAACAGAAGGCUCCAAACUCAUCCUUACAAAGUAGUUUGAAUCCACGAAUAAACGCCUAGCUAUUAGGACGUAUUUGCGAAGGCGCCACAUUCAGAAACUUUAGCACAUCCAUCUCAAAAUCCGUAAAGGGUCGUCACCCCAAACUCUUCCAACACCGUCAUAUACAUAAGAAAGGAAUCAUCCCUGACACCCUCCAAACGCUGAUCGCACACUCUCUCGCCUACAUCACAGGGCGACACUGUCACAUCUUUCUCGUUCUCAGUAGCAGAAGUAUCCAUCUUGUUUCAGAAUAAAUUGAUAUCCGAAGGCGACAUAUAUGAAAACACCGCUCGAAGAACUUCUUCAGCUAAAUGAUUCAUCUCCAACUCAUAAGAAUACGUCAAACACAUAAUCUCUUUUUGAGUAGACGGAAGAGGCAUAUAAUGACAAAUCUCUUGACAAGUUUUCCCCCUACGACAAAUCACUAUCACUACCAUUAGAGCUAUCGCUACUAGUGUUGCUAUCAUUGGACAAUUCCCCUAAAACCCUACGAUAAAAAAGCCCUAAUUCGUAAGCUUCCCAAUCAAUCAAGUCAUUAGGAUGUGUUGCAUGUCUUAAAGAAUCUCUCCUCAGUUGGUCUCUCUCAUCAAAAUUCGUAGGAGAGAAGGCGAAAAAUGAGAGAAGGAAAAUGGAAGAGUACUUGAGAAGAUUGAAAACGUGAGCUUAGAAAUCCAGACAAUCAGCUGGCAAGUGCGCGAAUACGGAGAACUAAAAGGCGAAAAAUGCGGAAGUGAAAUGAGGAAAGGAAGGAAAUGAAGGGUCAAAGAGUUUUAGAGGACAACAACAAUUAAAACCCCCUCAAAAAACACGCUCAUCCUUGGCACGAUUGGAGACACGUGUCAAGAUACACCCAGAUUCGAACACGUCACUAUCAUCGAAAGGUCACACAUUUUGGACCAUACAAUCAUGUUAAAAAUGAAAGAUCUCGUCGAUAUAGAAUUUCAAAAAACUCGUUGCCAACUCCUCAAACAGGAAACUUACUCGCCGUGCUGUUACAAAUCACUUCGCCUUGUCCCAAGACUCGUGGUUGGGGGCUGUGAACAAACAUCAGGCAUAAAACGCAUGACUCGACUAGCACACACCCUAGGGGGCUCUAGGAUAAAGCAUAAUCACCCAAGGGGGACUCUGUAAGCUCCAACAACAACAUCCAAAGACAUACACAAAAAAUACUGAUAAACGUAAAAUAAAUUCCAAAUGCUAAUUAAUCAUUUCGCCUUGUCCCAAGACUCGUGCUUAGGAGGCUUUGGACCGUCAAUAUCUUCUUAAGGACCUAGAAGUCCUCCCAAAGGGCAUUUAGACCCUCCUAGAUGCCUAACACCCUUCAAAAGGGCUCUAAGGCCCAACACGCGCCCUUCCUAGGGAGCCGCCUCUACCAGCUUCUAAAACCUCCAAAGCUCGGCCUAAAUACCUAAUACGAUUACAAACCCUAAUACCUCAUUACGUAUAGCUUAAGAACCAUAAAUCAGGCCAAUAGAGGGCUAUAAAUACAACCUUUGAGAGCCUUCUGAAGGCAUGACCAAUACAUUACAAACCCUAAUACGAUUAUUGUACUUUUGCAAGUACAAUGAGGAAGGCGAUAUUGACAGGGAAAGUUUCCACCUAAUUUGGGCUAAAAACAUGGACUUUUGGGGGUAAAAAAGUCACAAAAAGUGACUUUUUUCGCAAGGAGCAGGGCGCCUAGCGCAUAAUGGCAUGCACCUAGCUCAUGUUCCUGCUAGGCUGAGGCGCCUAGUGCCCCUUUCAUGCGCCAGACGCUUCAGUUGUUUAGCUUAGGGGCACCUAUUGUGCACCUGGGUGCAUAAGUGCCUUUUCAGUGCCUUUUCAGUGCUGUUUUUCUUGUUUUCUUUGCCUUUUGAGGUGUUUUCUUCAAUGUAAGAUGUCUUGGAACUUGAGAACAAAAUUCCUUCCUUUGUAAAGACUUCUGAGGCAUCUUGAAUCUUCAUUAUUCAUCUUCCCAAGGUCCACAUAAAUCUUCAAAUGUCUUGCAUUGUCUGAUUUGCUUGAUUUCUUCGUGAAUUACUUCAACAACACCCUAAAAUUGCUAUUUUUCAGGAAGAAUAGAAUUACAAACUCAAUAUAAAAUACAUUACAAAUGUACCGAAAUCAUAGGCAAUUGAUCAAAUACUCUUCUUCUUUGCUGGUAAAACCUACUGAAAUUGACUGAAAAAUGUAACAGCCCUAUUUUCGUUAGAUUUAUUUUAAUUGUUUUAAUAUGUGUUUAUUUAUGCUUAUGUGUGAUUAUUAUCAUUGGGUGCAUUUUUAUGGGUUUUCGUGUUGGAAGGAUAAUUUAGUAAUUUCAUGUAAGGAUUAUUUUUAGUGUUUCAAGUGAGAACCAUUAUUUACUAAGUUACUAGUGUGGUAAUUAGUUGUGAGCCGGUAAGUGAUCGUUGUUAUUAUUUUACCGUUAAGGGAGUAGAAACAUUUUAGAAUUAGUGAAUUAGUGGGUUAAGCCCACUAAGGCAUUAGGGUUAAACCCAAUUGAGAAGAGCCUAUAUAAGUUCUAGAUUUUAGAGAAAAAUAGGUUUCCACUUCAUUUCAUAAGAAUUUUGAGAGAGGUAGAGAUAGAAAGUUCAAGAGAAGAGGAAAAUGGUUAGAAGGGAGAAAAGCUUGAAGACUCAAGAGGUGAUAGAGAUUCUAGGACCUAAAUUGAAGCUUUUGCUAGGAUUUUUGCUAAUUGAGGUAAGGGGGUUAGAUUUCAAUCAUAAUAACUUAGUUGUAGCUUUUACCCUAAUUUCAUGUAUAAAUGCUUAUUUGUAUAAAGUGAUUAUUAUGAAAUUAAUUGAUGAAAUUCGUGGUUAUGCUUUGAUGUGAUGUUUGGGUAUGUGAAAUUGAUGUUAAUUAAGUUGUUGAUGAAGAAUUUACAUGCUCAAGUUAUGUAUAUAUGUAUACUUGUGUUUUUGCUCAAAAUUGAUGAAGUAUAAUGUUAUUGUUGGUGAAUUGUUGAUGAAUUCACUUCUGAUUGUUGUUGUUGUGAUUGUGAGUAGUUGUUGUUGAUGAUUGAAACCUUGGGUAAUCUUAACCAUAGAGCUUGAAGUGAGUUUCUAUUGUUCUUGAAGUUUUCAUGAAAAAUAGGUCAAAUGGUAAUUUUGUUGAAAUUAUGUUGGAUUCAAGUUUUUAUAUGGAUUUGAGUGUCUUUUCAUGUUUAGACAAACUUUGGGAUCAAAUUUGGGUAUUGGGUCAAAAUUGGGAUUUUGGGGUGAAAAAUGAGUUUUUUUUUGUAGUAGAACUCCAGAAGCCUGUCACAACUCGCCAUGGCGAGCGGGAGGCGAGCAGGAGGUGCUUCCUGUGUGUUAACUCCCCAUGGCGAGUGAUUCACUCACAGGGCGAGCUGCACAGUGACAUCAUUCCCUGUUUCGCAAUCUUGCGUCUUUUUCACAUAUUUUUGUUUUGAAUUGGUCUUUGGUAUAAAUAUGAAAGUUUUAGAUAAUUGUGUUAGCUUUCCAGUGGCGUUGGUUUGACUUGAAAAUGAUUUUUGGUUUUUGAGUUAUGAUGAAAAUACUCCAAGGAGGUCUUAGUGAAAUUUUAUGAAAAUUCCGCAUAACUAUUUCUAAGUCAACCCAAAACUUAUGGAUUGUUUCCAAACUUCAAAACUUGUGUACUAUGAGUUAAAUUAAUGUGUUUAAGAGUAUUUAAGCUACGUUGUGGUGAAUUUAACUUGGUUUUGUUUUGAAAGUGAAUUGGUUUUACAUUAUGAGUAAAGCGAUACGAACUUUGCAAAACUUUGAAUUUAAGUGAGUUGGCCUAUGGGACCUUGAUGUAUACACUAUUGCACUCAUAUGUGAUUGGUGUAUAUACUUAGUUGAGGUUUCCAAAUGUGUUUACCUUGUUUUGUCGGAUAACUUGAAAAUUGGUAAAAUGAUACGAACUUGUCGUAACCUGUGAUUUUGAUGAUUUUGUCGUAGUAGGCCGGUGAAACGCACAUGUAUAUUCAACUACACUCAUAUGUGAUCUAAGUGUAUACAUAGUCGAGGCCCUAGAGUUUAUUUACUUGGUGUUAGUUCAUUUGUCUCAAUUAUUUUAAAGUUGUAAAAUGAGAGUUGAACUUUGUCAAAAAUGGUUCUUUAAAGCCAAUUACCUUAUAAAUCUUUUGUAGAUAACUUUAUAUGACUAAAUGAAGAUAUGUGAAUGAAUUUUUAAUUGUUGAAUAUGAUAUUAUCAUAAGGUGUUGCAUUUUCUCUUUACUUGGAAUAUGAUAAGUAUUUGGAAUGGUGGAACUAUACUAUAUGGUUGAUGUUGAUUAAUAUUUAUAUAUCAAUUGAUGUUGAUGAUUACUGAUAAUUAUGAUGAAAAUGUGAUGAUGACUCUUAAUUGGAUUAUGACUUUAUUGUUGUGUGGACGUAAAUAUUUGAUAAUGCAAUUGUUGUUGAUGUUAUCCUUUAUAUUGUUGUUGAAUAUUUAUGAGGUGAUUUUGCAUUGUCAAGUCUUUCCUUGUAUGUCCAUGCAUCAUAGUCAUGUUGAGUCUUGAUGUUGUAAAGGAGGGUUACUCUUUUACUUUGGUGAUAAUGUAAGACGGGUGUGAAAUUUUACAUAUGAUGUUUUUGUUGCAUCAUGUGUGACGACCUUGAGGUGAUUUGGUACCACAUGCAUAUAUGUGUCGGGAUUAGGCACAUAUCAUAUUGGCGUGAGUCUUAAUUGAUGUAUUUGAAUGAUGAUUGAUGAUGAUAAGUGUGUUUGAUGAAUACAUACUUGUGAUAUUUAGAAUUGUUGCAUGAAUGUGUAUAUGGAAGUUAAUUGCUCAUGAUUAAUUAAUUGAUACUUGAUUUGAUUCAUUUAUGUCUAACUAUUUAUGUGGAUUAUGAUUGUUGUAAAGCUUACCCCUAGUGGUUUUGACCACCUACCUGUCUAUAUGGAUGGGUAGACGAAGUGCAAGAUUAGUCGCUUUGGUGAGUUGCUUGGUGAUUGCUUAGAUAGAGGGAGUUAUCUCCGUUAUCGUUUCCUUAGAGUCUUAGGAUAGGCUCUGAUCUAGGAUGUAUGUCUUAUGAUUAUUCUAGAUUGUUUAUUUUGGAUUUAUUUGUGUUGUGGAGAUUUACCCAAUUGUCGGAAUUUGAAGAAUUUUUAUGUUGAUGUAUUUUGACCUCAUGGCAUGUAUACUUUUGAAGUGUAUGGUUUAUAUCCGCUGCAACGGUAUAGAAUUUUUAUAUAUGCUUGUUAUUUGAACAUUGUUGAUGAUGUGGCGUCUAUUUCUUGGAUAUUUAUAUUAUUCGCGUGUUUUAUUGCUUUAAUAGAAAUAGGGCGCUACAAAAAACAUGCUAAAAAUAACGUAAGAUGUCCUGUCAUCAUACAACGAUUGAGAAAAAGAUAAAGAUUGUCUAAUACCCAAGACUUCUUACAUAACUAUUUCAUCAAAGCAGAAUAGUUCAAAAACUGGAAGGUGUGGGUUUUCAUGACCUAGGAAUACAGGUAGCUCAAGUGAUGACAACAUAAUUUAUGGGAAAUAUGAGAAUCAUCAAGUCUGUGGUAAUGUCAAAUGGAUUCUCAAUCAGAAAAGAAUGCAGAACCUUUAUCCCAGACUUUCCCUCGAUCAUCCAAGAACCAAAUACCAAAGAUCUAGCAGACCUAGUGUCACAAGCUUCUGAAGAUCUAAUCUGACAUGGACCAUGCUCCUAGGGCAUGGACCAUGCACCUAGGGUAGGGUGCGUUUCACAGUCACAUGCGCCUAGGGCAUGGAGUGUGCUCCCUGAGAACUAAAAAAGUGUGGGGCAAAAUUGAUUUUUUUUCGACUUUUGUGUUGUUAUUUUAUGUUGUGAUUUUCUCAGAUUGGAGUGGAGGUAGGAUGUGAGAGUUCAACAGAUCACCAUUUGUAUGACUGAACAGACUAUUCAGAAAAUCUGAAUCAGUGUUUUGAUAAAUGGUUUAGCUAGAGGGUAAUGAUAUAGGUGGCGAAGGAAUAAUGAUGGAUGGUACUGAAGAAAUGUUAACAUAUUAUGUAAGCUCAAGAUCAAUACCUUUUGUAUUAUGAGAUUCUUCUGCUUUGCCUGGUGAGGUUGGCUCAACGGUAGCUGUUGUGAGGUUGGCUCAACGGUAGCUGCUUCUGUGACUAGCAUGCUGACUUCUUCUGCUUGCUUCUGUUGCUUCUCUUGGUUCUCACACUCAUCUACAUCGAUGAAUAUUAGAUGACACAAAUCUUCCUUAGCAUGUACAUUCUUCUUCCUUUCUGGUGAGGGAAUGAGUGAGUGAAUAGUACCAGAGUUCCUUGUGAGCUUGGAAAAAUCCGUUUUGUAGACAGAUCACAAAGUCACAUACUCUUAAUUUGUCUCUGAGUCGGUUUUGGAUUGCCUCGUCUUUUUGGGUGCUUGAGAAACUUUCUCAUCACCUUUCCUCUUAACCUCGACUUUCUUUAACUUCUUUGUUGGAGGAGAUGUUGUGACUUUGGAUGAUUUCCUCUUAUUCUUCUUGUUGUCUGCAGUUUCUGAGUCACCAGGAGUUUAAUCCGGAAAGAACUAAUCCGCAACUAAUUACUAAUAUUUUUCAUUGAAAAAAAAUAAUUUUAAAUAAGACUGGUACCUUGGUCUGUUGUAAAUUUGUAAGAACUAAUUUGACAGACAAUGAUAUAACUCAAAGACUAAUUUAUUUGUAAGUGCAAUAAUUUUGUUACUAAUUUUUGACCGUAAAUAACACACAAGUUAGCAGAAGGACCAAGUUGUUCAAUAUAAUUCAAAAUGUGAUUGUUUUUGCCAUGGCAUCCCCCAGUUUUUCUAUAAUUACACAAGAUUCCCUUUGUCUCGAUGGUUAGGAAGUACAAUUUUCUUUUGGAUGUCUCGUGUCUGAGUCCUAAUUCCCCUCAUUUUUAUAUUUCUAUUAUAUUAUAUUUUAAAUUUUAUUAAAAAAAUGUUCUUGAGGGGGAAUCGAACACGCACCACUACACUGAAUUCUAGCAAAAAACUGACCCCUAGACCGGUUACUGAUCUGAAGAAUAUUAUGAAACAACUAAACAUAUAUUCCAUAAAUUUUGGCACCCCCAAGAUAAAAACUCAAGAUCCGCCAUUGCCUAACUCAAGGUCCUAAAUACGCCACUACCAUUAACUAUAAUUAAUAAGAGUGUUUUAGAAAAUGAAACAUAUUUUGAACAUAUUUCUUAUCAUUUCUUUAACAAUUAUGUAAAACUCAAAAGGAACCCUUAAUUUGAGACAGAGGAUAUAUAAUAAUCGAUGAAGUUUAAUAUCUGCAAAAAAGUGUUAUUAAGUGAAGUAAACUUAACAAGGGUGACACUUGUUUUCUUUUGGUAAGGUGUGGGAGCACUCUUGACUGAGUUUCUAUUUUUUUUUUUUAUAUUCUUUUGAAAGUUGUAGUGGUGUAAUUGGGUGGUUAGUUGAAGUAAUUUUCGUUUUGGUUCUUGCUUGAUCUAUUUUGCAUUGUGAAAUUUCAAUUCUUAGUUUGCUUUCUACAUUGACGGAGUUGCUAAGUUGCAAUCAAACUUUUGAGUGUGUAUUAAUUAUAACAGUAAGAGUGUUGCUAGCACUACUCUUAUAUAAAAUCAGAUGUAUUUUUAAAUUUAUUUAUUUAUUUUUUUUUUUUUAAUUUCUACGAAAGUGGUGCACUUUUCCAUGAAUAUGCUUUUAGUGCAACUCCUUACCAAUGUAGUCAAACAAUUUCUUAAAACUCAUUGUUAUUAGUCAUUUCGAAACAAUGUAUUCACCAAGACAAAGGAGUGGGUGGAAGGAUAAUGGGUGCAUGCACAAUCAAGAAAAAGUUAGGUGAACAUUACAAUCAAAAUAUAUAGCAUAGAGCAUCAAAAUUUAUCGUAUGAAACAAUGUUUUUCUAAAAUAUGAAUGUGAACAAAUAACCCUUCAACUCAUAAGAUGAUCUUUAAUAUAUAGAAUUAGAAAGUUAGAGUAUCAGUACACCGAAAUUUAUAUAUUCAAAAGUGAGGCGUAGUUGGUUUUCCUCUUUAUGUAGUAUAGUUCGGUUUUUCCAUUUUAUUAUGGUACUUAUUCCUAUCAAAUUGAUAAAUCAGCUUUAUCUUAUAAUUGAUUUAACUAAUGAUGACUUGAACAUCAAUAUUAUAUAUUCGGAUAUACGAGUACUUCAUCGUGCUCUUAAUUUAGAGAUGUUUUGAGUUUGUUUACAAAUUGAAUCUUUGAAUUUUAGACAUAGAACUUGUACUCUUUUAGAUAUAAUAUACCGAUUUGAAUGGAUAAAUACCGUAAUUCCAAACAUAUAUUUUUUUUUCACACACAUACCUCAUCCAUUACGAAACGCAGGAACUAAAGCUAUAUAAUAUAGUGAAGCUAAUUUAAUAAAAAAUAUAUAUAUUUGGUGAUGCUAAACUCAGUCUAACUUAAUGCCAGUUCAAAAGGAACACUGUGGUAUGGAGGAAUUCUUUGUUUUGCAUUUAUAAAUGGCAACUAUACCCUAUUAAUCAUCAUCAUAAAAAUAAUUUUUAUAAUGUAUGAGACCAAGUUUCACGUCUCUAUUAUUUUUCAUCAUUUUUUAGAAUUGUACGAUCUUGUACCAGAUCUUCGUUUAGUUAUGAUGAUAGCAACCACUCUCACUGAAAAAUUAUAUAAUAACAUUUUUUUGGCAUAUUUAAUUACUGAUCCUGUCGGUGUAUUAUUGUAAAAUUAGGCAAUUUGUCCAAUCAAUUCACACAUAAUUUCAAACCUGGCAACUAUAUAAAAACAAAAUCAUAGGUAAAUAAUGUAGAAAAUCACCAACAACCCUUGAAUUUUGUUACAAGAAAGGGCCAAGUCAUCACCUUAUCAAGAUUGUGAGUGGAUUCACAAAGAUCACGACUAGUAUAAAAGGAGGAAGUCACUCUUGUGUUUUCUGCACCAAACUCAUAAGUCACUAACAUGGCUUCCUCAAACUUCCUAGUGCUGCUUCUUUUUGCUCUAUUUGCCAUUCCUCAGGGUCUUGCCAAUUAUGAGAAGCCUCCGGUUUACCAACCACCGGUGUAUAAGCCACCAGUUGAGAAACCCCCGGUCUACAAACCCCCUGUAGAAAAGCCACCAGUAUAUAAGCCACCAGUAGAGAAGCCUCCAGUUUACAAACCACCGGUGUACAAGCCACCUGUGUACAAACCCCCAGUAGUGAAACCCCCAGUCUACAAACCUCCUGUUUACAAGCCACCGGUGUACAAGCCACCAGUUUACAAACCACCAGUAGAGAAGCCCCCAGUUUACAAGCCACCUGUAUACAAACCCCCAGUAGUGAAACCCCCAGUCUACAAACCUCCUGUUUACAAGCCACCAGUUGAGAAGCCUCCAGUUUACAAGCCACCAGUAGUGAAGCCACCUGUUUACAAGCCCCCAGUCUACAAGCCACCAGUAGUGAAGCCACCUGUAUACAAGCCUCCAGUCUACAAGCCACCCGUUUACAAGCCUCCAGUUGAGAAGCCUCCGGUCUACAAGCCACCUGUUUACAAGCCCCCAGUUGAGAAACCUCCAGUCUACAAGCCACCGGUUUACAAGCCUCCAGUCGAGAAGCCACCAGUUUACGGACCUCCUCACCACCCAUAGGACUCUCGGAUGCUUUUAAGUAAAUAAGUUAAAUAAGAGAUAUAUAAUGUUUCCAAAGCAAGGAUUAUAUAUUCUUGGAAUCUUCAUUUUAGUCUUUUGUUUACAAAUCCUAUUACCAAGAUAAGAAUGUGAAAGAAAAUGGUGCAUUUGUACUCCAAGUUAUGAAUAAGAACGUUGUGAUUUAGCACUUUUUAAUUUGUGUUGGUUGACUAAAUUGGACAUAGUAUAUAUAUACUCUACUUAAUACUCUGUCAUAUCAGUAAGGUGCAUGAAAGUUCAAUUUUCUGUAGUAGACAUAACGAAUAAUUAAUUUAUGUUUGAAUCUAGAAUUUACUAAACUUCACGUACUUGGAAUUUCAUUGCAUUAUAGCUUGACUCAGUAGUAGCUUUAGUGAAAAAUGAUUUUGGUGCUUAAAAUUUUAAGAGUUGGAGUUUGGACAAAUUAUACACUCAUAUAAUUUAGUUAUCUUUUCAAAUUUACAAUUACAAUUUUCAAGGUUCUAUAUUUGUGUUGAUGCACCAAUUAAGAGAAUGAUCAAGAAAAUUAGGUUUUUAAUUGGUUUUUAUCGAUGAUUUCUGAAGAUAUAUUUCGGCAGAUGAACUAAUCCUUCAAUUUAAGAGAUUAAAUUGCCAUUUUACAAAUUUCAAUGAUUAUAUUAUUACCUAAUCUUAAAUAUAAUUUUUAGGGCUAAAACGAUGAUUCACUCAAUAUAUAUUGUGAUUUCUUAUUUUUUUUAUGAUAUAAAGAUAGCUGAAGUUGUGUGAUAUACAAAGUUAUAUUUCCUUUGGAAGAUAAGAGUCCCCCACCAUAUUGACAUGAAAGUGAACGUGGGAAAAUAUGUGCAAUUAAGGUUCCAAAUAUUAAACAAUAGCCACAAUAAUUGUCUAUAACUCAUAACAAAUAUAAGAACUUGAUAAGAAAAAUAAUAAAUAUAAGAACAUGAGCAGGCCAUAGUUUUUUAGCCCGAGAAGCUUCAUCUUCUUUUUAAGUCUAACAUUUUUUAAUCUUCAUUCAAAGAAGAUUGGUGAUUUUGGGAUAUUUUUAUAAGAUAGGUAAAUAAUGAAAUUUGUGUUGUACUCGAAGAAAUCUACCACACGAUUUGAAUGAAUAUAUUACUUUUAGUCAAAAUAAAUUAAAAUAAAGAAUGUAACAUUUCAAACUCACUCACAUAUAAAGAAUGAAUUUACAAUCUUUAAAACACAAAUAUUUAAUCCUUAAAUCUAACACCUCUCUUAGUUUUAGCGAAAUGAACUUUGUGUUGUACUCGAAGAAAUCUACCACACAAUUUGAAUGAAUAUAUUACUUUUAGUCAAAAUAAAUUAAAAUAAAGAAUGUAAAAUUUCAAACUCACAUAAAAAGAAUGAAUUUACAAUCUUUAAAACACAAAUAUUUAAUCCUUAAAACUAACACCUCUCUUACAUUUAUUUUGUUUACGUACCUUUAUUUUGUUUUCAAAUACUUAUAUUUAGUUGAAUUCCUUCAUUAUACUCUUUUUAAUGAAUUUUCUGAACAAAAUAAAAUUGUGUUACUCAGUCACUCAAAUUAGAGUGGAUAGAGCAAUGAAAAUAUUUAUUACUAUGUAGUUUAUAGUUGGAGUGAUCGGAUAGUCUAGUGGGAUCUUAGCCACUCUCGUUUGACUCACUUGGAGCAUGUCAAAAAUAUUUUUUUGAAAAUGAACGAUGGAGAUUUACUUUGCACUAGGUCCAGUGAAAAAGAUAUGGGAGAUAAUCCCAAUCUUAGCUUAUUGGGUAGGCCAGUGUUGAGAAUGGAUUCUCUCAAAUGUAAUUAUCUCACUAGUCUAAUUACCAACACAAUCAAAGAGAAAAAAUAGUGGGAUGUAAGUAAAAAAUCCAUAUUCUACUUACUCAAUCAUCUAUACAAGCUACUUUAAUUAUCUAGUCGAACGUUACGAGCGUUACAAGAGAAAUCAGAAUAUCGAUGAUCAAAAUCCUUCAAAGCAAAAGAUGUUGUUGUGUGCAAGUGUGAGUUAUAUGCCCCACAUCGGAUAAAAGAGUAAAGGUUGAACACCUUAUAAGUAAGAGGACCAUAAACCCAAAGCCUUAAGGUUUUGGGUAAGAGUGUGGUGUCUCCCUUGCUUGUCUGGUUGUUCUAGCCUCGAUGUGGACGCUCCCCCAAGCUCCCCUCGCUGACCCAACAGUGGUAUCAGAACCCCGGUUCGAUGAAGGGUACGACUGAGGCCGCCUGUCAGUUGUGCAGAAAGCAGCAACGACGGUACAAGCAACAAGUGGCUUCUUGUGCAGCAACGGCUAUACAUGCAAAGUAAAAAGCUUCCACGCGGUACAAGCAACAAGUGGCUUCUUGUGCAGCAAUGGCUAUACAUGCAAAGUAAAAAGCUUCCACUCUAGGGGAGCGACUCACGCUUGAGGGGGAGUGCUGUUGUGUGCAAGUGUCUGUUAUAUGUCUCAAAUCGGAUAAAAGAGUAAAGGUUGAACAUCUUAUAAGUUAGAGGACCCAUAAACCCAUAGCCUUAAUACUGUCCUUUUUGCAUAUUUAGCCCCCCCGAAACCAAUUUUAACCAAUUCAACGAUGACGUGGAUGUCACGUGUGUAAUGCUUUAAUUAUUUUAGUUUUAGAUAGAUACAGAGAGAGAGGUGUCAUAUGUCAAAAAAAAAAAAAGAUAGAAAAGAUUUCCUUCCUUGAAUCGUUGAGGUAACUACAAACUAAGACAAUGAUGUUAUUGGUUACUUGUUUCUAAUACCUUUGAAAAAGAUAGUUAGACCAAUGUAUUGGUCAUUAACUCUUUUCAAUGGUUACUACCCUAGUGUCUAAGGUGAGUCAUAACAACGUCAAAGUAAGUACAAUUAUUAUUAAUUUAUGUCUACACCUAAUCAAUAAUUGAAGGUUAAGAUAGGUCAAGCCAACAAAGUUAAGGUUAAGAUAAUCAUUUUCACCUAAAUUGAUUUAUGAACAUAUGUUAAUGAUGACAGUCCGUCAUAUCACAUUUUUAGAGUCUUUUCAAUUAAGUUUUUAUUCUAAUUUUAUUAAUUUAGUACUUAAUUUAGAGUCAUUUUAAAUAAAUUGUCAUUUUCUUAUUAUUGAGUCAACUAGUGUAUUAUUACUAUUAUUAUUGGUCAAUUAGUGGCUAGUAAAGAGAAUGAAACAAAAACAUGGUUUUGUGAUGGAUGUGAUUGGCCAAGAAAAAUGAUAACAAGUUGAACGAAAGAAAAGAAGACCACACAAUGUUGCAUUAGGGUGCAGGAAUCAAAACCAAUAUAAUUGGGCUUUCUUUCAUGGACGUUGAACCAAGAAAAAGAAAAGAAAAGAUAACUUGCUGCAUAAUGUUAAUUUGGAAAGAAAAAUAGGUUUGACAAGCUAUAAAAGGAGACCACGCACAGGAACAAAGCAGACGAUUGGGAAAGAAAGAGCAGCACGCGGUACGAGACAAAAGGAGGAGGAGAAAAGCUCAUGGAAUUUGGAAUAUGCAACAGUACUGAUUAAAUAGAACAAAGCCGGUAGACCAUAAUUCGAUCGGUUUAUUUCUUUUAGUAUGUUGUUUAUUCCUUUAAUAUGUCUAGUUAAUUCCAUUUGAUUGAGUCACGAUGAACCUAUUGUAAUAUAUGAAUCAGUAGUUAAAACUCUUUUUAUUAUCAAUAUUAUUCAGUCUUUAUUCAGAAUUAUCUGUGUUCAUUGCCUUUCAUAUGAUUGUUUGCAUUGUUUGCAUUGUUUGCAUGACUAUUAACCCUAACUUCUUACAAUCACAUAAAUUGAUCUUAGGAAUUGAAUGACUACUAACCCUAACUUUUAAUCCUGAAAUAAUAAUUCUGUUUAAUUCAACAUAGGAACCUAGAGAUAGGAAAUUGAGGAUUAUGACAUAUAACGUUCUAACAUCGCUUCCGCGGUUAUUCAACCAGUUUAAAAGAUUAAAAGGUUAUAACUUAGGAAAUGGUUUUGAGUCAAGAGAUUGAUCAAAACUAAUUAGUUAAUUUGUCGUAAAGAUUGAAUAAGUGUUGAGAGCAAAGAGAGAUAAACUAUUUCACAUAAAACAAUAGAGGAUUUACCGGCUGAUCAUCUGUUUUAAUCCAAUUAUCAAACCAUUUUAUUUUAUGUUAUUUACUUUUUAUUGCACACAAACGUACUGCCUCAUACACUUAUAAAAUUUACACAUCCUAGAUAUUAACUUUAUUGCUAGUUUGAGAUUAACACAGUCCUCGUGGAUACGAACUUAUUUUAUUACUUCGAUAGUUUUAGUACACUUGCUAAAAUAUUUAUGAGUUAACCAAUAAAGAGUAUCAAGAACAACUUUAACCGAAUAAAAUAGAAAAGUAAUUAAAUGAAAUUUAUAGAAUUAUUCAAAGUUACAUAAUCAAACAAUUACGAGGAAGUUCUUAUUUCAUGACCUAACAUAUAUAGUAUUAGCUACUCAUAGAUUUUCUAAACAUAUAUAAAUAGAUAUGAAGAAGAAAGCAUGAGAAAAGGAUCAGCAAGUGAGGAUUAAUUGGCUCCCUAAUGGCCGUGGUCACUCCAAUCCUUCCAAAAUUGUGUUUCUGCCUUCGUCUUCUCGCUAAAAAGUAUUUUCCACUAACUUAGGUUUCAAUAUUUAUAGGUGUGCAUUUCCUUAAGUUUUUGGGAAAUUGGCACACGAUGCGAUCCUAUUCCUCAUGAUGCGAGGAUAACAUAACUAAUCUUGUUGGCCUCACGUUUAUUGUCCCGAUGCAAAGCUCAUGAAGAUUGAUACGAUUCAAGGAAAUGUGAUUUGAUUUAACCAAGCAAAAACCAAGAUCAUAGGAUAACAAUGAUACGAUUCAAAGAAGUGUUAACUUGAUUCACAGUAAUACAAUUCAAAGAAUCAUGAAUCGUUUAAAAAUUUAUGGAAAAUUAGCAGAAACUUUUCAUGAUAAGAUUCAAAAAAGUUUGAAUUGAAUCAAUUGGUUAGAAAAACAUUUUGACCAAGAAAAAUGAAGUUUUCUUUAUACAAACAAAACACAAGACAACAAGGGAUCAUAUGAUUUAUGAGGCAAGAUUUCUAGGUAUGCUUUAACAUGAUAUUAGUCAAUAACAACUAAUAUCUAAACAUCAUCAAAUAAAAACUACCUAAUGAACAUCAUAAAAACACAAACCUAUAACUACACAACUUCAUCCAACUUAUUGGGUGUACCGCAUUAACUAGAUAAUGGUCAUAUCUAUACUAUAUAUAAAGAAAAUAACAUGUUUUUCAAGGUGAGAAAAACACGAGAGGGGGGGGGGGGGGGGGUUGAAUUGUGGUUUCUUUCUCUUCUCCUAAAACCGAAUUCACUAUUCAGAACUUGAUAGAGUUCAGCUUCUGAAGUAGUGUUCAGAGUCUAGUUGCAGCGGAUAAGAAAAGAGAGAGAGAGAGAGAGGCAAGACACAAAGCAACUAUACAGAUUCCUUCCACAAACCGGAACUAGUCAUGUCCCCCUUGCACCUCCAAGAAGAGUUCACUAAAAUCAAUAUUCGAUUACAAUUGCUCAGGGCUCAAAAUAGCAAGAGACUUCAAACUACUCAAGAACAACUACAAGAGAUUUCCUAUGCUCAAGAACAAAAUCAAGAGACUUCCUAUGCUCAAGCACAACUGCAAGAGACUUCAUACAAAUCAGAUAAGACUCUUAAGAUUCUAGAAUUUCUAAAAUAUGAAAGUUGAUAAGAAAUUCUAAGUGAACUUUGAUGUGAAACAUUUUUAGCAGAGUUUUGGCACUUGUAAAAUUGUUGUAAGUCUCUUAGAAAUCUUCAAGUCUUCACUCCUUUAUAUAGAGGUGUGAAAGAGACGUUGUUGAUUUCCAACACAUUAAAAGAGUCGUUAUUGAAGCUUGAUCAAAUUUCAAUUCCAUUCCAAGUAUAGAGGAAUACCAGCGUAGUCACAAUUGUUGUUCUUGUACUAUUGCAGACAGAAAACAGAGUAGUGGAGAAGGUGGUUGUACAAUUGUACUAUUGUCCUUUUCCAAUGUUCUUCAAGGGAUAAGCAUCCAAUGACUUCAAAUUCCUCUUAAUUAGUUGUUGCUCUAGACUUCUAUUCCUUCUGCAAUGAUAGGCAUGAUAAUAACAACUCUUGACAAAUAUUGAAGCUUCCAGUCUUUCAGCUUAUGAUCUUAAACUUCUAACGACGUCAGCUUCUGGUAGUCUCCAGCUUAUGAUAAAAGUGCUUCUGAUGAUGUCAUCUUCAGAACCUCUUUGUCUUCAAAACCUCUUUUCCUUCAGAUGGUUCCUUGCAACUCAAGCUUCCUUUUUUUAAAUUCCAUUGCUCUCAUUUGUUCUUCUAGAACCCAUGCUUCAUUUAAAGACACUCAAAUUUUUGUAUAUGGUCCUGCACACUUGAACAAAUAUUAUCAUAUCCAAUUGAAUUUUUUUAAUACCUUGUUAUCAUCAAAACUUAAAGGGUAAUGUUAAACACAUUUUGUUCCAACAUUUUUGACUCUUUUAGAAUGACUUUUUCUCUUUCCAAAAUUACCAUCAACUUUCAAUACAAAUAACACAUACAACAAGAAUUGUGUUAUUUGAACAUCCAUAUAUGCGACAACUUUUGUGACAACCAAAAUUUUACAAAGAAAAUGAAGUAGUGGCACAAAAACCAAAGCAAUAGAGAGAGAAAGUAAAAAGAUAAUGUGAGUAUGAGAGAGAAAGUUGUCACAAAAGUUGUAAAAAAUAGUUGUUCAAAUAUCAUUUCUCCAUACAACAAAUAGAUGAGAGUAAAUUCAAACAUUAAAAUAAAAUUGUAAUACACACGAUAUGAGUAUAUAUGUCCAGUUUUUUCCUUUAUCAUUUAAAAAAUGUAACAAACAAGAUGAGAAUAUCAGAGAGAUGAGAGAUAGUGACGUGAGACAAGAAAGACCUCUCCGUGGCCCGCCUUUGCUUGAACGGUGGUAACCGCACCAGAAUUUAUCUCCAUUUGAGAGAUACACUAGGGGGUAGGUAUGCAGCCUGGGUGGUAGAAAAUGGGGGGGGGGGGGGGGGGGGUAUGGGUGAUUGGUCUGUAGUUAGGUCACGAAAGAGGAAAGCGACGCAAUCGGAAGAUCGAGGAAGGGACAAGUCAAGGGUUUCAGAGCGACGCGGAGGCACGGUAAGGGUUAGAGGGAUCGCACAUAAUGAUUACGGGUUUGAUGGCAGAGAGGCGCGACAAUCAGCAAGGGCUCUUCAUGAUCAGCAAGGUUUGGGUCGUUAUCAGUUUGGAAACAACGAUUUGGCUUUCGACAGAUGCGGGUCUGAUGCUAUCAUGGGAAAAGGCUUCUUCGACGACAAACAUAACAAUGGUAGUAAAAUUACUUUCUAUUUUGCAAACAUUCCUGAUUAUAUGCCGUUGUUUCGUCUCCGUCAAUACUUUGAAGUGUGUGGUAUUUUGUCUGAUGUCUAUGUUGCCAGACAACUAAAUUCACGUGGUCAGGUCUAUGGCUUCGUUAGAUUUUUGAAUGUGAGGAACAAGGACAAAUUAGCACAAGAUUUGAAUAAUGUAUGGAUUGGUGACUUUAAGGUCUGGGCGCGUGAAGCAAAAUUUGAUAGGUUUGCACAAUAUGAUGAUGAUCAUAGGGUGUCUAUGCAUGGUGAUAGAAGGGAUGAGAAUGGAGGGGAGAGGAGGCCGGUGGUGAGAACUAAUGGUGAUGGAGUAAAAAAUAUGAGGAUGUGUAAUUUUAAAAAAAUAGGAGGGAUAAUAAAAAUAGUUGUUGGUCUCAUUUUAAAAAAAAAUAAAAAAAUUGUUUAUAUAUUUUUGUUAUAUUAUCGGUGUCAAUGAAAUGGAUAAUCAUGGUUAAUUUGAUUUGUUAUAAUUUGAAAGCAACACACAUUUAUAUCUUUAAUUUUAAUCAAAAUCAAAAUGUUAUAAAAAAUACUAUUGCUAAUUUUCAAAUGUUAACACAAUAAAAAGAGCAGAAAGACGGAGUGCCCGUCUUUUCACUAGUUAUAAUAAAAGAAAUUUUAUUUGAUGUAUUGAUAAUGAUACUGAAACUUUUUACACAUACAUCCAAACAUUAUUCAUGACAUCACUUUUAUACAAGUUCUAAAAUAUCGCUGUAACAAAAAGGUUAAAAAACAACUCAUGAAAUAUGUACAUGAUUUAAUUGAAUAUAUGUGUAAAAGAAAUUAUAUAUCAACAUCUAUAAAUUAAAUUUAUUAUUGAAAUGAAAUACUAGUAAAAAUGAUGGCCAGCAUUUAUGAAAAUAAAGGUCUAACUGAUCAUGGGCCAAUUUAAAUCAAAAGUAGAUUUGUGCCCUCUAAAGGGUACUAGAAUAUAAAAGAUGGACGGCAAACAAGGGACACAAAGAAUAGAGAUGCUCAAUUUAAAACACAACUUCGAUUUUUUUUUUAUUUACUAAAAAAUAACUUAGAUUGUUUAGAGAAGAUAGGAAUUCAAUUAGUCUGACAACAUAUUUUGGAAGUACAAUUAGUUUCACAAUUAACUAUUUUGAUAAUCCUCCUUAUUAAAAAAAAAUUAAUAUUCCAUUUCGUCAAAUAAAACAAAAAGUUAGGGAGUGAUGAGAGAUCUUAGUCAAUAUUGUUUUGCACCAUAAUAUUUUUGAGAGAUUGAUUUGGCAUUUACAUGCUUCCAACAAAUACAAUGUAACAAGUGCUUAUAAUUAUAUGAUAUCGUCUCUUAAUAUUGUGACAGCUGAUCACUUAAACACAAUUUGGAACAACGAGGUCCCUCUGAAAGUUAGUCAUUUUACAUGGAGUUUGCUCUGUAGCCGAUUACCAACAACAAAUAAUUUUAUCAGAAGGCACAUUCUUAAUCAUAAUGUUCAACUUUGUGUAGGCUUUUGUGGUAUAAUGUAAGAUAUAGACGAUCUAUUUCUCUCUUGUGAUUUUUUUGAAAUUUUUUAGAUUGGUAUCUAUAAUUGGCUCGGCUUUACUAUGGUACAUCCAGAACAUCCGAAUAACUUUUCAACUCAUAUGGUUAACUUGUGUUUGGGUGAUUUGAUGGGAAAGAAAUGCUUGAAGUUUUCGCAAUCAAGAAGAAUCGUUACAACAUCUUCUUGACAAAAUUAAGCUUCAAUCCUAUUAGUGGUUGAAAGCGAAUAGAAUUUUCGCUCAAUUUUAAUAAAGUGGAUACUAUAUGAGAUUUUCGCUCAAUUUUUUAUGAGUAUGGACUGCACUUGGCGUUAGUCAUUGAACUCAUUUUACGAGACUCAAGUUCCAACUUAAGCCAAAAACUGAAACCAAACAAAUGAAGUAAAAAACUCAAGUUCCAAACUAAUGCGUGAUUUUAGUCAAAACAAUGUUUAUUUUUUGACAGUAGUUAGUUUUGGAUUACAGCUAUAUCCCUACACCCCACAAACUAUACCCCUCUCACCAAUAGACAAAACAAAAGAGUAGGUGGAAGGGUACAUAAUUAAGAAAAAGUUAUGUGAAAAACAAUAUUUUCUAUAGCCAAAACCAAAAGAUAUAUAUUGCAUUAUUGCAUAUAUACCAAUAAAAGAAGUACUGUGAAAUACAAGAUAAUGGCAUUAGAUUAGAAAUGGCCAAUUUGAUCUGUCUAUUUUUAAUCAUAUUAUUUAGAUUUGUUCAAUCUUUUACCAAAUCUUAUUUAGUUAUGCAAAAAGCAACACCUCUCGUUGAAAGAUAAUAAUAACGAUUUUUGGCAUAUGUUACUAAUAUUGAUUGAAAAAUGUUACCAAAUGAUGCAACUUCCCAACUCCAAUCCACUCAUAAUUUCAAACUUCGCUACCAUAUGAAAACAAAAUCACAGGUAGAAAUGUGUUGGAAAUCCUCAACAACUAUUGACUUUUGGUACAAAAGAGUGCCAAGUCAUUACUAAUUCAAGAUUGAGACAUGCAGCUGUGAGUGGAUUCACUAAGAUCACGACUAGUAUAAAAGGAGCUGGUCACACUUGUAUUUUAUGCACCAAAUUAUAAGUCACUAACAUGGCUUCCUCAAACUUUCUAAUGAUGCUCCUCUUUGCUCUCUUUGUCAUCCCUAAGGGGUUUGCCAACUACGAGAAACCUCCAGAGUAUCAUCCACCAGUUGAAAAUCCCCCAUUUUAUAAACCACCGGUAGAGAAACCACCUGUGUAUAAACCACCAAUAGAGCAACCUCCAAUUUAUAAGCCACCUGUAGAAAAUCCUCCAAUUUAUAAACCACCAGUAGAGAAACCACCCGUGUAUAAACCACCGUUUGAGAAACCUCCAAUCUACCAUCCACCAGUAGAGAUACCACCAGUGUACAACCCACCAGUUGAACAUCCUCCAAUUUACAAGCCUCCUGUAUACAAACCACCAGUAGAGCAACCUCCCGUCUAUAAGCCACCAGUAGAGAAGCCUCCAAUUUACAAGCCACCAGUAGAGAAACCUCCUGUUUACCAACCUCCUGUUUACAAGCCCCCAGUUGAGAAACCUCCAGUGUACAAGCCACCUGUAGAAAAGCCACCAGUGUACAAGCCACCUGUAGAAAAGCCACCAGUGUACAAGCCACCUGUAGAAAAGCCUCCUAUAUACAAACCACCAGUAGAGAAACCACCAGUGUACAAACCACCCGUUGAGAAACCCCCGGUUUAUAAGCCACCAGUAGAGAAACCACCUGUGUACAAGCCACCAGUUGAGAAGCCCCCAAUUUACAAGCCACCAGUAGAGAAACCACCUGUAUACAAGCCACCAGUUGAGAAGCCUCCAGCUUACAAGCCACCAGUUGAGAAGCCACCUGUAGAGAAACCACCAGUGUACAAGCCACCGGUUGAGAAGCCCCCAAUUUACAAACCACCAGUUGAGAAGCCUCCAGUGUACAAGCCACCGGUUGAGAAACCACCUGUCUACAAGCCACCUGUAGAAAAUCCACCUGUUUACAAGCCACCAUUUGAGAAACCUCCAAUUUAUAAACCGCCAAUAGAGUAUCCACCCGUGUACAAGCCCCCUUUUGAGAAACCCCCCAUCUACAAGCCACCUGUAGAGAAACCUCCUUUUUACAAGCCUCCGUUUGAGAAUCCACCAUUUUAUAUACCUCCAGUUGAGGAGCCUCCUGUUUACAAGCCUCCAUUCGAGAAGCCACCAAUUUACACUCCUCCAUUCUAGAGCCCACCUUACCACCCAAAGUUCCCUCGGGCAGGCGAUGGUACUCGUUAAUAGAACAUGCUAUGAAGAAAAUAUGUUAAAUAAGAGAUAUAUAGAGUUUUUUAUUUAAUCAAGGAAUAUAUAUAUUCAUGUAAUCUUCAUUUCAAUACUUUGUUUACAAUACUCUUGCUAUGAUAAGAAUAUGAGUGAAAAACAGAGAAAGAAAAUAGUGUGCUUUUCUAUUCGAAAUUAUGAAUAAGAUUUCUAUGAUUUAGAUGUUGUGUUGGUUGACUAAAUCGUGAUACAUCGACAGAGGCAGAGCCCCUCAUGCGCCAAGGUGGGUCAUGGCCCACCCCCAAAUUUUGUUUCUUAUUAUAUAUAUAUUAUGUUUUGUAAAUUUUUGAUGUUUUUGUAGCAUGUUGUAGUGGUUAAGAGCCUUUUUGCCAAGUCGUAUGUGCUAGGUUCAACUCUUGCCAAAACCAUUUUUAUUUAUUCUUUUAUUUUCUUUUGUAUAAAAAAAAAACAUAAUUCAUAAUUGUUAAAAUAAUCCUUUUUUUUGUUACUUAAUCCUUUCUUUCUUUAAUAAAACAUAACUCCUUUAUUCGAUUUAAAAUAAUCUUUCCUUUCCUUACUCUUAUUUUUGGAUACAAUUGUCUCUUUACUCUUUUAUUUUAAUUUUUUUUUUAUACAAAGGGGACUUCAACUCUUUUUUGUCAAAAAACAUUCUCUUUUAAAACAUAUAACAUAUUUUUUAUACUUAGUCGUUUGAUUCAAUUCGAUUUUAUACCUAUACAUCUGUUUAUUGAAGUCGAGUCAUUUAAUUCAGUCGUUAGGUUCAAUGGCCUAGUUGUUCGAUCAAUUAUCUUGAACUUUAUCAAGGUUGAUAAACAGUUCAUAUUUUAAAAUACCGGUUUAAAUUAUAUUCAACAAAUAACAAAUUUAUAGUCAUUGGAACCAACCAAUAAUAAAAUGUACUUGUAAGAAAAUAAAGCCUCAUCACUAUUUAUGGCCCACCCUAUACUUUUUUCCUAGCUCCGCCACUUUACAUCUUCGUAUUCUUUAGGAAGUUUCAACCUUGUUGACUAUGACAACAGUGACGACUAUAACGAGACUCGCUAUUGACUAUGACAACAGUGACGACUAUAACGAGACUCCCUACUUUUUGGUUUGCUUCAACAGGUUCUCAACAUAAAUAACUAACCAAGUUAAUUUGCCUGUGAAAUGUGAUAUUAGUAAGGUGCAUGAAGGUUAAGUUCUUUAGCAAAGCUUAGUAUCUUGAAUUAAAGAAUAUCGUUAAUUAAACUAAAUAUUCAUAUUAGGUAUCACAAUUUUCAAGACUUUAUAUGUACGUGUUGAUCCAUUAAUUAAGAGAAAUUAGACUUUAGACCCGUGCGUCGCACGGGUCAUUUCGACUAAUAUAUAAUAAUAAGUAAUGGUAAAAAAAAUUCUAAAAUAAAUAAAAGAUGAAGAGUAUUAUACAUUUUACUUACUCAAGUUCAAAAAAUAAAGUAGGAGAUGACAUGAAAUCGUUUAGUUGAAACAAACGAAUAUUAAAAAAUAAAAAUUAGACAACGACAGGGAUCUAAAAUUCUAUUUCUAAUCCUUCACAUAUCAAAAUUACAAUUGGUUCUCUUCAUUGUAAUCAUCUAAACUUAAUUAAAAAAUUUACAAGUGCAAAUAGAAUCGACAUUAUACAAGUCACUACUUGAUUCCAAAAACCUAUGUUUCAUGAAAACCACUCAUACCUAAAUAACAAUAAUAAACCUUCAAAACAAAAAUCAACUAUUCUCAAAGGACCCAAAAGAAAGAUUUUUAGCCUUCUAAAUCACAAUUUCUCUUGUUGUAUUGUUUUUGUGUCAAAAGCACCAUAAGUUGAAUAGUAGGCUCAGACACAUGACUUUCCUCAUAAGACAAAAUCACCAGUUUUUUAUAGGUUGAAAAAAUAAAUCAAAUAUCCUUAACUUUCAAUAACGCUUAGAAACAACUGAAACUUUUGCAUUAUCUCAAUCCACAAACAAAAUUGAAGACCUUUAUAUUUGCUUUAGGCACCUUAAGGAAUUCUAUGUAAAUUGUUUUCCUGCAAUGAAAUGCUAAACACAAUGAGCAAAGAAGAAGAAUUAACAACAAUAUUUGGAUUGUUUUAUUUAGCUUACAAUUCUUUAAACUAAUCAANAACACAAUGAGCAAAGAAGAAGAAUUAACAACAAUAUUUGGAUUGUUUUAUUUAGCUUACAAUUCUUUAAACUAAUCAACAAAAAAUUAAAUUUGCAUUAUAUCCUCCACAAUAUCAAGAAUUUUUCAAAGGGAUCAUUCUAUUUGUAUGGCUAUGAUGAGAACUCAUGUGUGUCCAUGAAGACCAGCUCUACGGAUAACCAUGUUCAUAUUAACUAUUUUAGGAGUGAAAAUAGGAUUGGAUUGGAUUUAGUAGUGAGCUGUUGUUUUUGAUUUCAGAAGCAUUUGAAAAUAACAUUUUGAUUAAAUGGAAAUAAUAGGAAGAAUUUGUUAAUAAAAGUGAUUUUUUUUUUUUUUUUUAUGUUGAUCUUUUUAUUGUUGUGUUAGAAACAAAAUAGGACGAAAUUGUAUUUUUUUUUUUAUGUUUAUCUUUUUAUUGUUGUGUUGGAAACAAAAUAGGAGGAAAUUGUUAUAGGAAUAGGAGGAACGAUUUUUAAAGUUUAUCUCUUAAUUAAACAGGUUUAAUUGAACACGGGGGUAAUAACGUAAAAGUCAUCAUAAAAUCUAGGUUAAAAUUAGGUUAAAAAUUGGCUUACGGGUUAACUUUUAUAUAUAAAGAAGUCAAGAGAAUCUAGAUCUGUGAAGCCCCGAUACUUCAAAAUGGAUGAUGUAUCGUAUCCGCUGCGUAUUCUGUAUCGAUACCUGCCCGAUACUUCUCAAAUUUAUGAGUUUUAUUUGAUUCUUCGAAUUCGAAUUUUGAGAAUUUUAGGGUUUGAAGGUUGGUGAUGGAGGUGAAUCUGAGUUUAUAUUAAGAAUUGAUGAAGAAUUUAAGGAGAGUGCAGUGAUGGAUAGGUAACUGAGUAUGAAUUGGUAUGCAGUUUGGAAAAACAAAACAAGAGGCAGUAGCAGCACCCCCACCCUUCCUCUACUUCUUCGACAAUAUGAGUGUUAGAUUCAUUUUCCUAGGUGUGAUUUUGAGGCAGAUGAAUAUGUGUGAGAGAUUGUAGAGGAAGAUCUCAGAUAUAGCUUUUAGGGAUGAACAUGAAUGAAUGAAUUUGUAGAUGAAGAUGAAUGUUGUUUGAACAUUUAAUUAAGAAAUUUUUAAUUGUUUUUUGUUUUAAUAUUUGAAAUUAUUAAAUUGUAUUUUGAAAUUCAAAAAACCUGUUUUAAUGACAUGUAAAUGACAUUUUCCAAAUUGGCAAUGCCACAUAGGCAAAAUUUUACCACCUGUGCAUUUUUGGAUGUGAAAAUAGGGGGUAAGACUAAAACUGCAACAAAAAUGAUAAUUGAAAAACAAUUUUAAUCUGUUUUAAAAGGGCAGGACCAAUUUCCUGAGUAGGCCACAACACGAGGACCAAAAGUGUAAUUAAGCCUUAUAUUUAUGUUGAUGUGCUACAAGCUUAUGACUGGUUUCUUUUGUUUGAUAAUAUAUUUGCAUAUUAAAUAAAAUGGUUAUAAUUAUAUUCUACAUUUAAUUAUAUAAUUUUUUUAUUGACGUAUCCCAACCAUAUCGUAUCUUGAUUUUUGAAAUUUUUUCGUAUUGACGUAUCGGUGCAGUAUCGUAUCUCGUAUUCGGGCUUCAUAGAUCUAGACUAUUAAUUUUUUUGAUAAACAAGAUUAUUAUUAUUUUUUGACAAAAACAAAGUGAGAUUCAUUCAUUCAAAUUGAUAGAGUACAUCAGAUACAAACAUUGCUAAAAACGUAAAGGAUAAAUCUAUGAACAAACUCACAACACUAAAGUUCAUACAACAGCAAAAUGUCUACAAAUAAUAUGAUAAAAUCUAAGUCACCAAAAUAUUCAUGCUUCCGGGUAUGCAACGUUGGCGCCCAAAUCAUUGAUUGAAUUUGUAAUUGACUAAUGUCGAUCUUUCAACAUGAACUAAACGAACACCGCGUCAAGACGCGAAAUCAAACAUCACAUAAGACCACUAACAACACAAUGCCACAAUUAGAUGACGAAAUCACAAAAACUCAAAAGGGAAAACUUGAUAUAUGUGAAAACCAUUUGUUUAGAUCGAAAGAAAAGAGAAAAAACGAUGUAGAGGGGUGAUUUUAGGUCAAAAAUGACCUAAAACCAGUUCUUUUUAAUAAACGAAGGAGAAAGAAUGUUUAGAGAGAAGUUGGAGUUUUUUUUUACUUAAAAAAUUAGGAUAAGCAAAAUUAUUAUAGAGGGAUAAAGGGCUCCCCAACCCAUAUACAAAAUGAUGGUUGCAAUGCCAUGUAGAAAAUAAAAAGAUAACAUUGCCUUUCUUUUUACAAUUAAACUAGUUACAAACCCGUGCGUUGCACGGGUUUAAUAACGUAUUUUAUAAAAAAAAAAUCUUUUAAAAGAAAAAUGAGCAAAUUAAUGAAUAUUGCACAAACAUUAUAAAUCUUUAUCAAAAUAUUUAUGAAAGCUUUAUCAAGUCUUUAAUACACAUUAAUAUUUGUGAUGAUUGAUAAAAGAAUUAAAAAGAGUAAAGGGUAUAGAAAUAAAUUUAUUAAAGAAUUAACAAUUUGUUUAAACUUAUUUUUGUUACAAUUUAGACCAAAAAAAAUAUUGGACUUCAUUGAGUUUCUCUAUAAUUUUUUUAUCAGGCUUGAAGUUAUGACUCUGAGUUUGAAAACCGCAAAAUUCACAAAAAUUAUUGAAGAAACACUAUAAACAAAUAAACGGCAUCGUCAAAAAUGAAAUCAUAUUUGGCUAUAGUGAUCAAGCAAACAAAAAAAAAGAAGCAUAUUAAAUACCUAUAAUCAAUGGAUUCUAAUUGCAUAGAGGCGACACUUAUACUUUCUCUAUGUUUGUUCAUCAAUGAGAGUGAUUAUUUUGCGCUUUCCUUUCAGAAUUGUUCUUGACACCUAGUUUGGGAAAUGCUAAACAGGGAAAUAACUGUAAUAUUAAUCUAAUGCAUAUUAACAUGGAUAAGAUGUAUGCGAAUAUAGUUAUAUAUAACUUAUGAAAUGAAGGUAACAUAACUGAUUUUAAGCUAAAGAAAAUGUACCAUGACUUCUAAUUUAUCUUUCUAUUAUCUUCCUAUAAAGUCUAGAGAAAUGCAUGCAUGUGCAUUAUAUGUACCCCGUUGACCAAUUAACAUUUUUGAAACAAAUGAAAAUUAAGCAUCACUCCCGCAUGUGCAUCUAUAGCUAACACCAUUUGACAUUGAUGUCUUCGAACAUUUGGUGCAACUCUCAUAAUACCAUCCAAACUGGUUAGGAUUGAAUUUAGUUGUUUUUCCAAAUAGUGAUGGAGUAUGUAUCCUAACACAAAUUAUGCACGUGAAAUAAAGAAUAGUGCAAUAUGCAUUUUUAAUUUGUGCGUAAAAAAAUUCAAAGCAUGUUUGUGAAAAAAAAAAAAAAAAACAGACCUUGACUAAGUUUAUAGAUUCAUCAAUUGGCCUAACUUGAGACAGAUUGGAAAAAUCGUUCUACGAAGUACUUUUUAAACUUUACUUUUUAAUCUAUCUGAGCUUGAGAAGUGUUAAGUUCACGACAACAAUUCAAGAAACAUGGUCAAUAAACAAUCAAAUCAGAUUGUGAAAUAAUAAGUUACUCUAACACUGUAUUGUGAAAUCAUAAUGCAAACUUACUAAGUCUUAAACUUUUCAACAACCGGAUGAUGUAGGUUGAUGAGCAGCCUCGAACCUGACCAAUUGUUACAUCUAUUUGCGUUGUCAUUGACUACAAAAUAGAAGCAAAGAAUUCAAGGUAAAUAAAUGGUAAAUGAUAAAGCUACAAAGUAUUUUACCCAUAAUGUUACAUCAACUAUAUUCCCAAUGCUCUAAAUCUCUAUAUCGAGUUAUUACAUGAACUCGAUCACCCUAAAUCCGAGAAAGAAACCAAAAAAUAUAAAUAAAUCAAAAUGUAUACUAAUAAGUAACAUUGAUAAAUCAUAAAAGAAAUUACUACAAAUCUUAACUAACUUAUCUAACCUUUGCAUCACAAAUAAUGAGCUUCAUAUGUUGAUUCUCAUUACUACCAGUCACAAUUCAAGAAUCCAGUACUCCAAAUCCUAUUUUCCAAACGUCUAAAUCAUUUUUGAGAUACUUAAUGUAGUCAUAAUCCCUUGACAUUGAAAUUCAUAUAUAGAAAUACAAUAAUACAUCAUUUAAUUUUAUUCCCUUUGUUCAUUCUGAUAUCGAAAGAAGCUAACAUAUUUCUAUGUGAUCAAUUUUUGUAUCAUCAAAUUAACCUGAUCUUAAAUGUACAAAUUUCUAUCAUCAACUUUCUGGACCCCAAUGAUAUGAUCAAAACAAAUUUACACCAAUCAACUUUUUGCACGGCUCAAUGAUAUACGAAAGAAUAAAUAAAAUAUGAAAACUGUUACAGCUUUAGGAUUACUCACAAAAACUAAAAUAAUUGAAAUGCAUCAAUUAUUUUCAACUCCUGUACCAGAAGCUAAAAUAACAAUUGUGUCAAAACCUUACCAUCAGUUAAAAUUCAGUCAUCAUGACCUCUACUAUACUCCACAUAACAAAAGACGAUUUUUCUACAGCCAUGCAACAUAACAAAUUUUGGUACAUAAUCCAAUAACAAUUGGAAAAAAAAAAAAAAAACCCUUAAAAUGCAUAAUCAUGAAAAAAGGAAGAAAACCAUCUAUGAUGAAGCAAAAACUAAAACGGUGUCGAAAAAUGAAGCCCUUAAGCCAUAAAAAUCAGUCAACUCAAGUCAUGCAUGGUCUCAGAACCAUGAAAAAAGAUAGAAAAUGACCUUUUUUUUUUUUGUGGUGGCCGGGGUUUGAACUCCGGACCUUGCAUAUUUUAUGCAUUGUCCUACCAACUAAGCUAAGCUCACGAGGACGAAGAAAAUGACCUCUUAUGAAGAAGAAAGUGAAACAGUGUUCCCGACUGAACUUAGAUACCGUUUGGUCAAGGUUUUUUACAUUAUAAAAGUUACUUCAAAACAAAGUAAAAAUAAAGGCCUUUAUGAAAGAAACUAAAGUUAUUUGGUUUUUUUGUUUUGUUAGUUUUAAAGCUAUUUAAGUUUAAUGUUGUUUGGCAAAAUAUUGUACAAACUUUGAAUUUAUUAUUUUUUAUAUGGUGUCUGGGGUUCGAACUCCGGACUUGGCAUGUAUUUAUGCAUUGUUCCUAUCAACUGAGCUAAACUCAUGAGGACAAAACUUUGAAUUUAUUAUUAAUUAACAUAAUAAAUAAAUAAAAUGUUUAGAAUAAUUUAUGAAGGCUAAAAAUGUUAAAAAAAUAAAAGAUAUUUUUUUUACAAAUACGAUAUUUACUCAAUAACGUUUAUUUUGUGUAACAUGAAUACAAAUUAAUAUCAUCAUAUAAAUAACUUGUUAAAUAUUUGAAUAGGAGAAACAAUUUAAGGAGUCUGGAAUAAUAAUAUAAAUAAUAUCAAAAUAUUUGAUUUUUUCUAUUUCAAUUAUACUCUAUAACAAAUUUCGUUAUAAGAAUACCAUAUUUUUUGUGUCUUUCAAAAAGAUAAGAAUUUAUAUUAUAUGAUAUUAUAUUUGUUACAUUGUUGGUGUCAUGGAAACAGAUAUGUUUAAUUUUUUUGAACAUGAAAAUGAUAUGCAUAGUUUGUUACGAUAUAAAGGUGCAAUAUAUAUAUAUAUAUACACCUUUUUAGGCAUCUAUACCUUUUUUUGAAGAAAAGACAUCUACAAUUUUACUUUUAAUUAAAAUUUAAAUUUUAUAAAAAUAAUCAUACGCAUUAUGCAACGCUAAAAAAAAUUAUACACAUUAGCGUAACAAAAAAACAGACACACAUAAAGAAUUACUCUAAACGCUAAUGUGUAUGUGCGUAUAUAUUUGCGAGGUUGAAGAAAGAAAAUACAAAUAUUUGAUAUCAUUAAAUGACAGCGUGAAUAAAAAUAUUUGUGAAGUUGUGAUGAUUAAACGAUAUUGAAAUUAUAAGUGAUAAAAAGAUAAUAAAAUUCCUUUGAAAAAAAGGUAAUAAAAUUAAAUGGAACCUCCUUAAAAAAAAUUAAAUUGAACGCUUCAAAUUAAAUGGAAGAAAAAAAUAUAUUGAAGUAUAAUAUUAAAAAAUAAAAAAAAAGGUUCCCAACGUGAAUUGAAGAGAGAUGCUUGUGAAAUAAAUUGUCGAGAAGUAGUUUUUUGAAGAAGCAUUCAACAACUUUUGGUCAAAGUUCAUUGCAUUCAAUUUUAUGCAUUAAAAAAGGUACAUUUUUUAGAAAGUACUUAAUUGAUAUUGUAUUUGACCUAACUUCUCCUUAAAAAUAUAGGGAAGUUGAAAAAAAAAACCGGGUCAAACGGUAUCUUAAUUUCCCACAACGGCAGUGUAGAAACAACUGAAUUUGGGAGAAAAAAAUUGGAAAAUAGUUAAAAAUAAAAAAAAUUGAAAAAUAGUUAAAAAAAAUCGGUGAGGUAGCACCUAACCAAACAACACUAAAAAAAAUUAUAUGCAUCAGCGUAACAAAAAAACAGACAGACGGACAUAAAAUAUUACUCUAAACGUUAAUGUGUGUGUAUAUAUUCGCGAGGUUGAAGAAAGGAAAUAAAAAUAUUUGGUAUCAUUAAAUGACAGCGUGAAUAAAAAUAUUUGUGAGGUUGUGAUGAUUAAACAAUAUUGAAAUUAAAAUAAUUAAUAUUGUGUUUGACCCAACUUCUCCUUAAAAAUUUAGAGAAGUUGGAAAAAAGUCGGGUCAAGCGAUACCUUAAUCUCCCACAACGGUAAUGUAGAAGCCACUGAAUUUGGGAGAAAAAAUUGGAAAAUAGUUAAAACUAAAAAAUAAAAAAAUCGGUGAGGUAGCACCCAACCAAGCAACACCAAAAAAAAAUUAUAUGCAUUAUCGUAACAAAAAAAUAGACAAACAGACAUAUAAUAUUACUCGAAACAUUAAUGUGUGUGUAUAUUCGCGAGGUUGAAGAAAGGAAAUAAAAAUAUUUGAUAUCAUUAAAUGACAACGUGAAUAAAUAUAUCUGUGAGGUUGUGAUGAUUAAAUAAUAUUUAAAUUAAAAUAAUUGAUAUUGUGUUUGACCUAACUUCUCCUUAAAAAUGUAGAGAAUUUGGAAAAAAGCCGGGUCAAACGAUACCUUAGUCUCCCACAACGGCAAUGUAGAAGCAACUGAAUUUGGGAGAAAAAAUUGAAAAAUAGUUAAAAACAUAAAAAUUGGAAAAUAGUUAAAAGUUAUUAAAAAUUAGAAAAUAAUUUAAAAAAUUGGUGAGGGGCAAAAUGGGAAAUUUGGCAUAAAAAAGAUGAGGUGGCACCAAACCAAACCCACCAAUUAGAAAAUUACUUAAAUGCCCAUUCCAGGGACAAAAUGGGAAUUUCAUAUGGCAUCAAUUUUAAUAGAGUAUAUAGACCACUCACAUUACACAAAUGUUGAAAUAUAUGAUGCAUAUUACUUUUUAAAUUUUUGGUUUAUAGUUGCAUUUUUUUUAGGGUUAAUAGUGUUUUUCACCCUUGUAAUAUAUGUCAUUUUCGGUUUUCGACCCUAUAAAAUUUUUAGUUUUAUUUUAACCCUCGUAAAAUUUUUAUUUUCCGGAAAAGACCCUUAAUAGGCCAUUCAAAAACCAAAAUUUCUUGAAAAAAAUUCUGAAAAUGGCCUAUUAGGGGUCUUUUCCGGAAAAUAAAAAUUAUACGAGGGACCACCUGUUGAGAAACCACCUGUACACAAGCCACCAGUUGAGAAGCUACCUGUUUACAAGCCACCUGUAGAGAAACCUCCGGUGUACAAGCCACCUGUUGAGAAGCCCCCAGUUUACAAACCUCCAGUAGAGAAGCCUCUAGUGCACAAGCCACCAGUUGAUAAACCACCUGUACACAAGCCACCAGUUGAGAAGCUACCUGUUUACAAGCCACCUGUAGAGAAACCUCCGGUGUACAAGCCACCAGUUGAGAAGCCCCCAGUUCACAAACCUCCAGUAGAGAAGCCUCCAGUUCACAAACCUCAAGUGGAGAAGCCACCUGUAUACAAGCCACCAGUUGAGAAGUUUCCAAUUUACAAACCUCUAGUAGAGAAGCCUCCAGUGCACAAGCCACGAGUUGAGAAACCACCUGUACACAAGCCACCAGUUGAGAAGCUACCUUUUUACAAGCCACCUGCAAAGAAACCUCCGGUGUACAAGCCACCAGUUGAGAAG
RNAcentral lists this long non-coding RNA (48050 nucleotides) under Medicago truncatula (barrel medic). RNAcentral's name for it is "long non-coding RNA (MTRU_LNC001595)". Lineage: Eukaryota; Viridiplantae; Streptophyta; Magnoliopsida; Fabales; Fabaceae. The record is from RNAcentral.